AGCCACAUGCUGUUUGCAUUCCAUUCCCUUAUCAAAGCCAUAUAAAGGCAAUGCUUAAAUUUGCAAAGCUCCUCAACCACCGAGGUUUUCAUAUAACCUUUGUUAACACAGAGUUCAAUCACAAGCGCUUUCUUAAAUCUCAAGGACCCAAUUCCCUUGUUGGCUUGCCUGAUUUUCAAUUCGAAGCCUUCCCGGAUAGCCUUCCGGAUUCAGAUGAAGAUGCCACACCAGAUGCCACCUUGCUUUGUGAAUCCAUCAGGAAAAAAAAAUUCUUGGCUCCCUUUCAUGCCCUCCUUGCAAAACUCAACAAUGAUGCCAUAUCAACAUCCCACAAUCCUCCUGUGACUUGCAUAGUUUCAGAUGGUUUCAUGUCCGCGUUCACAAUCACAGCUGCUGAAGAAAUCGGAGUCCCUAUAGCGCUGUUCUACACUAUAGCUGCCUGCAGCUUCAUGGGAUUUAAACAACUUCGCGCUGUGGUCGAAAAAGGACUUUUUCCACUCAAAGGUGAAUAACUACGAAUUAAAAGCAAUUGUUGUUUCUAAACAUGCAAAUGAAAUGUUUCUUCAAUUGAAUUUCAUUUGUCUAUUGCAGAUGAGAGCUGUUUCAAAAAUGGCUAUCUGGACACCGUAAUAGAUUGGAUCCCAGGAAUGAGAGAUAUCCGUUUAAGGGAUCUCCCGACCUUCGCGCGAAACACAAAUCUGGAUGACACCGGAUUUAACUUCAUCAUGGAAGAAACCGAAAGAGCUCAUGAAGCUUCAGCAGUUGUUCUUCAUACUUUUCAUGCCUUGGAGACAGAUGUUUUGGAAGCUCUCUCAUCUAUGCUUCCCCAUGUGUACACCGUUGGCCCUCUUCAAUUGCAUCUCAAUCAGAUACCAGAGCACCCUUUGAAAAUGGGAUACAGUCCAUGGAAAGAAGAAACUGAAUGCCUCGAGUGGCUAAACACCAAGGCACCAAACUCAGUUGUCUAUGUGAAUUUCGGCAGUGUAGCAGUCGUGACACCAGAACAGCUUGUGGAGUUUGGGUGGGGACUUGCAAAUAGCAAGCUUCCAUUCUUUUGGGUAAUUAGACCUGAUCUAGUUGUUGGAGAAUCAGCUAUUUUGCCGCCUGAGUUUGUGGCUGAAACUAAGGAAAGAAGUCUAAUAGCUGGGUGGUGCCCACAAGAGCAAGUCCUCAACCACCCCUCAGUUGGAGGAUUUUUAAUGCACAGCGGUUGGAAUUCAACAGUUGAGAGCCUUACUGCAGGAGUUCCUAUGCUCUGUUGGCCAUUCUUCGGGGACCAGCAAAUGGACUGUCGCUAUACUUGCAAUGAAUGGGGAAUUGGCAUGGAGAUUAGUGAUGAUGCGAAGAGGGAAGAGGUAGAGAAGCUUAUCAAAGAGUUAAUGGAGGGAGAGAAGGGUAAGAAGAUGAAAAAUAAGGUCAUGGAGUGGAAGAAACUUGCAGAAGAAGCUACUGGUCCACAUGGUUCUUCAUCCACAAACUUAGACAAUUUAGUGAAUCAACUGCUAUUGAGAAAAAGUUAAGAUGUUUCCAUAAGAAUAUUGAUGUUAUUAAUUAUCAUUUCCAUUGCCAUUGUCUCAAAUAAUCAACUAUCUGGCAAUAUAUAUGUACUACUGGUCUGUAACCAUGAUGCGUACUAUAUCUAGAAUUUUAUUCUAAUUAAGGUUUUACUACGCUUCAGGCCUUCAACUCUAAAGUCUUUAUCAUUUUUCAGGCAAUUGUGCACUAACCAUGAUGCAUUAUAUUAAUAAUAUUUUAAAUCAAUAGAUUAAAAAUAUAAAGCUAUACCUUUUUCCACAAAUACCCCCGAGCUUAACGGGUUAACGGGUAUUCGUGAAUUGACACGACACGACACGAUAGCUUAACGGGUGACUAACGGAUCAAUACGAUAUCAACAUGACACCAUAACCCAUGCCUGAAUACUGAAUUUUUCGUGCGAAUUCAUGUCGUAUUAAUGGAUCGUGCACAAUAUUGUCUCCUCUAAACUUAGAUACUUUAGUCGAUUUAAGAAAAAACUAGAUGUUAUCCAUAACCAUAUCUCUAUUAUCACUGUUGAUAUCUCUAUUAUUACUCCAUAUAGCGUCCUUAUUCGUGUAUGAUGUCAUACGGAGCCUAAUAACAUGUUUUCUUGUUUUGUUCUAAAAAAGUUUUUUGAAAGAAGUAGAGACCAGUAAAUGAAAUUAAAAAAAAUUAAACCUCCAAUAAAUAUGGCCAUGGAAACAUGGUCUAACGCUAAAUAUAAAAUAAAAUAAGGGCAACUAAACUUGCCAUGGCCACAGACAUAGUGGCUUAAUAGUAAGUAAAUAAAAUUAACUUUGGAUAAACUGUGGUGAGGGAGUUGGAAUAGUACACAUUGAAAAGUAUCUCAGUUUUGCUUUAUAAAUAAUCUGCAUUUGCAAGCACUGCAAUGCACACACAAAAUCUCAGAUGGAUUCCACAGAAGUAGCUACUAAGCCACAUGCUGUUUGCAUUCCAUUCCCUGCUCAAAGCCAUAUAAAGGCAAUGCUUAAAUUUGCAAAGCUCCUCCACCAUAGAGGUUUUCAUAUAACCUUUGUUAACACACAGUUCAAUCACAAGCGCUUUCUUAAAACUCUAGGAUCCAAUUCCCUCGAUGGCUUGCCUGAUUUUCAAUUUGAAGCCAUCCCGGAUAGCCUUCCAGAUUCAAAUGAAGACACCACACAAGAUGUCGUUAAAAAAAUAAAGUUAGACCAUUUUCAACAAAGAAAUUAUGUGGAAGUUUCUUUAAAACCUUGUAUAAUUAUGUUGGAGAUAUUGACCUGAUGAUAAAGCAUAAUCUCUCAUUAAUACUUGAAUGCUUAAUCUGAAAGAAAGAAAAGAAAAGAAACAAGAAAACACAGACAAGGUUAAAGAAAAGACAAAAUCCAAAAGCUUACUUUGUUUCCUCGUCUUUCCAAAUCCAAAUCCAAAUCCAAACGCCACUCAAAUCAGUUAGGAAGUUUCUGAUUGUUUAUUUCAUUUCAUACUAGAUACAAAGAUAACAACAGCUUGAGUAAAAAAGAACAAAAUUGAUAUUUUAAAUUAGAUGCUCCAUUUCAAACCAUAGACACUCCUCUAACGUGAGCUUGAUGAUUAGGGACAAAACCACAUGAAUGUUAUUUCACCAUAAUGUUCGUUUUAGUCAUUGUACACAACUCACAACACUUUCACACAAAAAAUUAUUAUUGUACCAACAUCACUUUUAAUAAAAAGUUGUCAAAAGACAAACUGCUUUCUUUCACAACUGAUUUCUCUCACAGCAAAUCUGACUGUAAUUAUUUUCACAUCACAACAAUGCCAAACUAGCUUCGUUUUAGAUCCUUAUUUCUAUUCCUACUUGGUUUAGGAUUCCUAUUUUAAUCUUAUUUCCUACCCACUAUAAAUAAGGCUUUUAGGAAGUCACAUUAUUAUUUGUGGCUAGAGAGUGUCUAUGAGUGUGGUUACGAACCAAAUUACAAGUGAGUGUGAGGAAUUGGUAACAAUUCACUAUAGAAAUACAAGAGAAAAAAUAAUUUCAAACACUCCGAAGUUUUCUUUCUACUAACUAGCCAGGUGAUGUUGAGGGAUUAAGCCUUCUUCAAUUAUACACCAAGCGAGAAGAACCAUUCACUACUACAAAAAAGCAAAAAGACGACGGUAAAUUACCGUCGUGUAUUCGGUUUUUCAAUGGUCGUGGAAUCCACCGUCAUCUUUUUCCUCAUAAACCACGACGCUAAAUCACCGUCGUUGUUAAAAUAUACAACGUCAUCAUCAAAUACAAAACGACGUCUUUGUACUGCAAAAAGAUCUAAAAAAGCAGUCGAGGAUGAGAAUAGACGACCAACUUUCUAAAAAAACCGUCGUUAAAAAGGAAAAAUAUGACACAUAUUAACAGAACAAGGCCGCAAGAUAGACAUACAACGACGAAAAUUAAAAUAAGACGCCGUUAAAUAUCAUUUUCACGACAAUAAAAAAUAUGACGUCUUUAAAUACAUUAGAAGACGACGUUAUUGAUACCUACUACGUCGCCUAUAUAAAAACAGCCGUCCUAAAAUAAAUUUUCCACUUCGAUUUUUCUAUAAAAGAUGACGUGGAAAUAUUUGUCAGUGUCAUUAUUUACGACGUAUGUAUUUAUAGAGUAGACGUUGAACAACGAAACAACGUCGGUUACAAAUAUAUGAGAGUCGUAUUACAAAAUUUAUACGUCCUAUUUUCAGAAACAAACAACGACGAUAAAUAUUAGACGUUGUUAAAUAAAACAACGUAGAAAACAAAUAAAAACAGACGUGUUUAGUCUGCUAAAGUUCUAAAAAAUAGUCGAGGAUGAGAAUAGACGACCAACUCAAACAAAUCACCGUCGUUAAAAAGGAAAAAUAUGACACAUAUUAAAAGAACAAGGCCGCAAGAUAGACAUACAACGACGACAACUAAAACACUACGCCGUUAAAUAUAAUUUUCACGACAAGAAAAAAUAUGACGUCUUUAAAUACAUGAGAAGACGACGUUAUUGAUAUCUACUACGUCUCUUAUUUACAAACAACCGUCGUGAAAUAAAUUUUCCACUUCGAUUUUUCUAAAAAAGAUGACGUGGAAAUAGUUGUCAGUGUCAUUAUUUACGACGUAUGUAUUUAUAUAGUUGACGUUGAAAUGCGAAACAACGUCGGUGGCAUUUAUUUACGACGUAUGUAUUUAUAUAGUUGACGUUGAAAUGCGAAACAACGUCAACUAUAUAGUCGACGUUGUAUUUAUAUGUAUUCAUUACUCACAACGCACUUAUUAAUAUAGACGACGUUGAACUUCUAAACAACGUCGGUUCUAAAUAAAUGAGAGCCGUAUUACAGAACAUAUAGACGGCGUUGAUUAUGAUGAGAGCCGUAUUACAAAUAACGUCGUUUAAUUGAUAUUAGACGGCGGUUAUAAUGAAUUACCGUCGGAAUUCAUUUCGUUCCUCUUCGUUUAUAAAAGAACUUGCGACGUGGAAAAUGUAUGAUGACGUCGUAUUUUUUAACGUUCAGAUUAUAUAUCUCGUUUUUUAGACGUCGGUAUUAUGGGAUUGGAGUCGUGUUAUUUUGAAUUACAUGGCGGUUCUUAAUCCUUCCCCGACGUGAUAUCCUGAAUAAUUGCUUCACAAUAGCGUCGUGGUUCUUCAUUGUUACGUUGCUUUAAGACGUCGGUAAAUAUGCUGAAUAACUGGUUCACAAUAACGUCGUGUUUUAUUUGAACAGACGUCGUUUUUUAUGCAGAAUAUAAUGAUGUAAUCUGGAACCAGUAUUUUUUGCACUGAUUGUUUUGUGGCCAAAACCUGUAUAAUGAAAGUGAAGAAAUCACAUUACAAUAUAUUACAAAAUUAAUGUCAUACACUGCCAAUUACAUAAGCAUCAUUCAAUCCAUAUAUCUUCACACCCAUCUCGAAUAUUUUGACCACCUAACUCACCCACCAGUUCAUCAAAUGUGUCAACAUUUGGCAUCCCUCUAGUAAAUGGCUCACACUCAAUUAUGACAUCACCUAAGACUUCAACACCAAUAACAUCAUUAUAUUCUCUAUUAGGCAUUGAUAACACUACCGACCAACCACGAUGCAUCGGGUCGUCAACAAAAAAUAUUUGUUUGACUUGAGAAGCCAAAACAAAUUGGUCAUUCCUAUGUCCAAUUUUACUCAAAUCUACAAGGGUAAAUCCAAGUUCGUCGACUACAAGACCAGAACUAUCUAUCCAAUCACACCUAAAGACUGGGAUUGUAAACUUUUGGUAGUCAAGGUCCCAAAUUUCUUGAAUGACACCAUAGAAACCCAUAUUUGAGAGAAUUGGGUUUUUAUCCUUGACACUAGCAACUUGCAUGGUAUGUGCAAGUAAAUAAACUCCACUAUUUUGAGUUGUCCGCACAUCAUCUUGUGCCUUGAUAUUGAAUUUAAUACCUUUAAUAAGAUAGCUCCUAUAUAAUGGCACUGCCAUGUUUGGACUAGCUGCUAGCCACCUUAAAUUUUCUGAUACGCCAUGAUUGUCUUCCUCAAGUUCACUUUGAACCUGCAAAUUAAUCAUAUCUUAAUUCAAUCUAACAUAGAAAUAAGAAGAAAAUUAAAAGAGAAAUAUGUUAUUCAACAACAUAUACCUUGAAGCGUAGCCAUUGAAUGAAAGUGCUAUUGUGCUUAUCCUGCAGCCACUUUGUUCUCUUUCUAAAUUUUGGAUAAGCAGUUUUGAUGUGGAUCAUAUGUUGCCUACAUGACACGAAAAAUUCAAGCAUUACGGUCCCAAAUAUAUAAGAUAAACAUAAGAAAUAAUUUAAAAUGGAAACUUAAAGAAUAAAACUCAUACGUACUCGAUAUAAGGUAGGACUUCCUCUGUAUUCUCCAAGACAUAUAGAUGUGCUUGAUUCAACAGGUCCUGAUCAACUACGCUCAUUGUGCAACCUGAUAAUGGCUUUGAAACUCCCAUCUUUUGGCUUGAAAGCAUUCCAACUGUACUAACAUCAGAUAAAUGCUGAGUACAAAACUCUACCGCUUCUUCAGCUAUAUACCGCUCAGCAAUGCAACCUUCGGGACGAGUACGAUUCUGAACAUAUCCCUUCAGCACUUUCAUAUAUCUUUCAAACGGAUACAUCCACCUAAAAUAUACUGGCCCACAUAGACGAACUUCUCUGACAAGAUGUACUACUAGAUGAACCAUGAUAUCAAAGAAUGAAGGGGGAAAGUACUUCUCAAGCAAACACAGAGUAACUACUACAUCUUCUUCCAACUUAUCUAGCUUGGAAACAUCAACAGUCUUUGCACAUAUAGCAUUGAAGAAGAAGCACAAACGAGUUAUUGCAUACCUUGCAGGCUUCUCCAAAACAGAAUGAAUUGCCACAGGGAGCAAUUGUUGCAUUAAGGUAUGACAAUCAUGUGAUUUAAGGCCAAGAAGUCUUGAAUCUUGUAAAGAUACAAGAUUUUUAAUAUUUGAAGAAUAACCUUCAGGGACCUUCAUACCAUAGAAAGAAUUGCAAACCUCUCUCUUCUCUGCUCUUGACAAAUUCCAAGGCCCAGGAGGCAAACGAGUACGUCUUUCUCCAUACUCGGGUUGCAAAUCAGUUUUGACCCCCAUGUUCAAUAAAUCUAAUCGAGCAGCAAUCCCAUCUUUAUUUUUUCCAGGGAUCUCCAGCAAUGUACCAAUGAUACUAUCGCAAACAUUCUUCUCAAUGUGCAUAACAUCUAGGGCAUGCCUCACAGGAAGGUAUUUCCAAUACUCGAGAUCAAAGAAUAUUGAUUUCUUCUUCCAACAAACUCUGUCACCAUUUUCAACCAUAUGCAGCACUUCUUCUCCGGUUAAUGGCUCGGGAGGUAUGCCAUAUUCAGGUUUCCCAUUAAAAGCUGCACGUUGCCUCCUAUAUGGAUGAUUGAUUGGUAACCAUUUUCUAUGCCCAAUGUAACAAAUUUUGUGGCCAUUUUUCAACCUGUGACUAGGUGUAUCAUCGCUGCAUAUUGGACAAGCUUUAUAUCCUUUAACAACACAACCAGAUAAGUUUUCAUAUGCGGGGAAAUCAUUAAUUGUCCACAUUAAUGCAGCUCUGAGUGUAAAGUAUUCUCCAUUAUGUGCAUCAUACACUCCUCUAAUCCCAUCCCACAAAGAUUUUAAAUCAUCAAUCAAAGGCUCCAAGUAGACGUCUAUAUCAUUUCCGGGUUGUUUAGGACCGGAAAUCAAUAAGGUUAACAUCAUGAACUUUCGUUUCAUGCACAGCCAUGGAGGGAGAUUAUAUGUAACUAAGAUAACCGGCCAACAACUAUAUCUGCUACUUAGAGAACUGUGUGGAUUGAAUCCAUCAGAUGAAAGAGCCAAUCUCAAGUUUCUCGGCUCAUUACCAAACUCAGGCCAUUUAUCAUCAAGAAGUUUCCAAGACGGGGAAUCCGCCGGAUGAGACAUCUGACCGUCAAUUGAUUUUCUAGCAGCAUGCCAAGUCAAACUCUUAGCUGUCUCAUGUGAUUGAAACAUCCUUUUAAACCUUGGAAUUGGAGGAAAAUACCACACCACCUUCGCUGGCACACCCUCUUUCAAGAUUGAAUCUUUGCCUUCCUUCCACCUUGAGAUACCACAAGUAGGACAAUUAGUUGAAUCCUCAUACUCCUUCCUAUACAAGAUGCAAUCAUUGGGGCAUGCGUGCAUUUUCUCAUAACUCAGCCCCAAUGCACACAAAGUCUUUUUAGCCUCAUACAUAGAGGUUGGUAUUGUAUUUCCUUCUGGAAGCAAAUCGCCUUGAAGUAUCAAUAAUUUUGUAAAACAGACAUCACUCAUCCCAUGUUUUUCCUUCAAAUUAUACAACUUCACUAAUGCCGAUAACUUCGUGUACUUUCUACAACCAGGGUACACUGGUUGAUCUCCAUCCCCAAUCACAUUGGCAAACUCAUACGGAUCGGAACCAAAAUCACCAAAAUCAUUGUCAUCCAUAUCAAUUUCUUCAGACACAAAACUGUACCUACUAUGGCCAUCAUCUUCUUCAACAUUUCUACUAGCAUUAGUAGUUGCUUCCCAAGGUUCUCCGUGAAAUGUCCAAUUCUUAUAGCUUUGGUCAAUUCCAUUAAAGUAUACGUGAUCCCUUAUAAUUCCAACCCCAAACAACUUCAAAUUAACACAUUUAACACAUGGACAACGGAUAUGUGUUGUAGUUAGAAGAUUUUCUACAGCAAAGUUCAAAAAUGCUUCCACCCCCAAACUCAUAUGCCUUCGAUCUUCUAUCCGAGUGCAUCCAUGACUUAUCUAUCUCCGACACUAUAACCUAUUAUCUAUAAUAAAGUGAAAAUACAGGCAAUGACCAUCACUAUAGCAGAUUAUACAAAGAUCUAAUAGCAAGUAAUACACAAAAGAGACGACGGGUUUUAAACAAAAACAGACGUAUUUGGCAUAUAUAGACGACGGAUUUUCAACAGACGUCGUCUAAUAUAAGUAAUACAAACGACGGUUUAUGAAAAAACCGUCGUGUAUAAGUAAUACAACGACGGUUUUUUCAUAAACCGUCGUGUAAUGAUCGUCGUAUGCCUAAAAAGGCGUCGUGUCUCAGUUUAUUUUCAAGAACCCAAAACCCAUUAAGAACACAACAUAUAUAUGAAACCAAGCAAGAAACCAACAUAUACAUGAAACCAAGCAUGAAAACAAUAAAUCCAUUCCCAAUUCAACAUAACAUAGGGUGAUUAAAAGAUCCGACAAAAUUAAAUCCAUUCCCAAUUCAACAUAACAGAUAAUGUAAUCCAUGAACCCAUUAAAGAGAAAAUCCAUGAACCCAUACCUAUAAGCACAUUAUUAACAGAUCACAAAGCAUAUACCUAAAACCCUUUAACAAAACAACCUAAUAUCAUUCAAUGAAUUUACAAGGGGAAGAUAGGGUUUGUACUUACAGGUUGGACGAGCUCACAGAUUCGACGGAGCCUGGAGAGUGCAACUUUUAAUUAGAGCAGAAGUGAGAGAGCGAAAUGUUAUGUUGCGCGAAAUCUGAAAAUUUUAGGGUUCAGGGUUAGAAGUAUAAGAAUAAGAGCCAAAUCUAAAAAAUUUAGGUGGCGCGAAAUUUUUUAGAGAGCGCGCUCUUUAAAACGUCGAAAGAAAAACCAUGGCGAAAGUUCUACAAGAACCGACGUAAAUGUAAUAUUCCACGACGGAAACACUGAACGUAACGCCAUUUAUUUUGACGCUUCAUUUUUCGGAUUAAUUUUAAAUUUAUUUUGAAUAUUUUGAUAUAAAGACAACUGAAAAACCACGUCGGGGUUAAGAAAUUUAAGACGUUGUAAAUUAUAAUAGACGACUUACAUAUUAAAAUGACGUCGUUUAAAGUAUAAACCAUGUCGGAUAUUUUACUGCACGACGUAACAUAUGUAUUCCACGACUCAACUACCGUCGUUAAAAAUUAAUACCCUAAACCCUUAAAACUAAAUUACAUAAUUUAAAAAUUUAAGUUUAUAAAAGGGUUUAUGGUUUUACAGCCUAAUAUAUACCCUAUACUACCCAAAAAUUAUACUUUAAAAAUAAACCCCAAUAAAUAACAACCCUAAUCUCUAAACCCUAGACUCUAAACCCUAAACCAUAAAACUAGAAGUGAUUUUAUGACUCAUCAAAACAAUUUUGUUUUGGAUGGUCAUUUUAAAUUUUUGUUAUUCAAAAUGAAUUUUUUCAAGGUUUAGGGGGAAGAAAAUAUAUCAAAGACUUCAUAGGAGUUGACUUUGCAUUUUUCUGAUUUAUUUUAAAUUUAUUUUGAAUAUUUUGAUAUAAAAAUAAUAAAAUAUUCUUAUCACAACAACAAACCACGUCGGUGUUAAUAAAUUGUAGACGUUGUAAAUUGUAAUAGACGACUAAGUUGUUAAAAUGACGUCGUUUAAAUGAGAAACCAUGGCGGAUAUUUAACUAUCCGACGUAAAAUAUAUAUUCCACGACUUAACCGCUGUCGUUGCAAAGUACUACCCUGAACCCUUAAGAAAUUGAAGACGUUGUAAACCAUAAACGACUCAAUUGUUCAAAGAACGUCGUCUAAAUAUCCUUUUACGUCGGAUUUGUUUAAAACGAAACAACAAAAAACGACGGUUUUUGACUUUAUUAGGUCGUUGGAAAAGUAUUACACGUCGGUUACGCAAUUUGUAUGUUUGUUUUUUUUUUUAAUUUAAGAAAACCUCAACAAAUUUUUACAUUAUAUAUUAUAGACAAAAUUUGUACAUUAUACAUAAAUAUCAAGUGUUCAAUAAUUCCCCUAUUCCAGGUGAAGGCAAACAAACUCUGCCCAUUCAUUCCGGACUUCAUCAAUUGCUUCUUGGGGGUAUGGCGCUUCCUGUUUUCCCUUGGCAUACUGCAUAAACAAUGACUAUUAGGGUUUAUAAAUAAAAAGAAAUUCAAUCACAGACGACGAUAUUUUUCAUAACCGACGUAGUAUAUCUAUUCAACGACGGUAAUUUUACAUGACCGUCGUUGAUAAUACAAAAAAUGACGUAAAAUGUAUGAAGGUAAUUUCUUCUUACCUUCUUCUCAAACACCAAGGAAGGAUCCAUGAUGAUGUCCCUCAUGAAGCGCAUCACAUAAUACCCGCAUUCGACACUGCUGGGUUGCUUUGGUGUGCCUGACAGAGUUUUUCAAAUUACUGCUUUACGGCCUGAUCUGGCUAUGUGAGAAUUAUAUAUUUUUAUAGCACUGUUCACGAUGUUUUUGGCCUCUUCAUCGACCACACGAUUUCCGGGCAGAGGAUCCAGAAAAUAGACGAUUUCCCUCUUUGCUCUCACAAUCAGCAAGAUCCAAUGACGGCUGCACAAAAUUAAUAUAAAAACGACGGUUAUUUACAAAAACGACGUAUUAUAAUAUUUCACACGACGAAAUAAAGUAGCAAUCGACGGCAUUAUAUAUUUAUCAUGACGAUAAAUAACUACCGACGUGGUUAGUAGUUUCAAACGACUCAAUAAAAUAAAACACCGACGUGGUUAGUUUAUACGCUGUCAUUUAUUGAAAAUCAUAAAAACAAAAUCCUGUUAAGGAGACUAACCCUGGAUUGUAAGGCAUCAUGAAAAUCUGUUCACCAUCAGUCCUCUGAAGUCGAGCUGCUACCGGUCGUGAUCUGUCAGCUAUUGUCCCAGAGUUGGCACUAACUGUAGCAGGGUUGAUAAAGCCAACCAUGCUGCACAUAUUUGCUUGUUUCAAAAGAUCGUGUAAGUACCUAAAUAUAUAAAAUAAUAUAAACAAGUCAGCACAAAAAAAACACACGACGGUUAUGUAUAACAAAACGACGUAUUAUAAAAUUUCACACGACGUACUGAAAUAGACAACAACGUUAUAAUAUAUUUAUCACGACGGUACAUACUAACGACGUGGUUAGUUAGUUAAGACGACGCAAUAAAUAAACCAACGACGUAUUAUUUUAGAAUGACAAACCUCAUAUAUACAGCAAUGACAGUGGCUCCUAUUUCUUCCAUGCCUGCAAAUUGUGUAAUAUCUUCAGGCAGGAGGAAGGUAUCGCGUUCUAGACCAAACACCUUCUUAUCAAUUGUAAAGUUCAGGGUCUUAUCCUGAGGCACGAGUGUCGUUUUCACAUAACGACAAAGGGAUUUGAAAGAAGAUGGCGCCUCCAUAUUUGAAUAAUCAACAACUUUAAUAACCUGUUCAAAGAAAUAAAAAAAAUGACGUGGUAAUUCAAUAAAAACGACGGUUUAAGGAAUAAAACGUCGUCUGAAAAGAAUUUAAACGACGGUGAAAAAACCGUCGUGGUGAAUAAUUUAUUACGUCUUAGAAAAAAAUUCGCCGUCUAAGUUGUAAACAAACGACGGUUUAAAGAAAAAUAUCGAUGUCUGAAAUUUUGAAAAACAAAUAAAAAAGGCAAAGUUAUGUGAACAUACCUGGUCGUCAUGCUUUUCUUCAUCUUCUUUCUCCUUUUCAUCUUGUUUUUCUUCUUUCUUCUCUUCAUCUUUUUUUUCUUCUUCCUUCUCUUCAUCUUUUUUUUCUUCAUUCUUCUCUUCAUCUUGAUUUCCUUCAUUUUUCGGUUUUUAGUAAUAAAGAAUGUAGAGAAAUUAAAAAAAUUAAAUUCAAACGUCGUGGUAAGACAAAACACAAGAUAGUAUGGACGUCUUAAAUUAUUAAACGAUGGUAAAUAGUAAACGUCGUGGGAUUUAUAUAUUACGUCGGGAAUGACUAACACCGUCGUCUAAAAACCACAAAGUUUUAAAAAUAACGACGUUUAAUGGCGUGUAAAACAAGUAAACUAAAUACGACGUGGUAUUGAAAUACAAACGACGGUUUAUUUUUAAAAUCGUCGUGGUAUGUAUUUCAAACGACGGUUUUAUUAAUAAUAACGACGUCUAAUAGUUUUUUAAAAAACAGAGAAUUCAAAGUUCAAAUAUGUUACCUUUUCUUCCUGAUGUUUCCCAUUUUUGGCAGUAUCAUCCUCAAAAUGUAGGGAUCUCACAUCACCUCCAGAGCAGCUUGCUUUGUCAGACAUUGGAUUUCUGAGACUUUGGCUAAUUCUUGGUUUAAGCAUGCUUGGAUCAAAAUUGGGAAUUAAUUGGGAAAGCUGACUCAGGAAAUGCUCCCUCUCAGCCUCUACCAAUUGUUUGGUUCUAGCCUCCAUCCUUAAAGCCUCUUCCCUUGCCUUAGCUUCCAUCUUUUUAUUCUCUUCUUGAAGGAGAACUCUUAAACUGUCCUUUAAACGGUCGUCAAAGCUCAUCCUCUGUGGUUUGGGUAAAUUGAAAUAUUGCCUUGGGGAAAUCCCAGCACCUACACCUCUCACUCUGCCUGGAUGCUCGGGGUCCAAAGCCAUGGUCAGCACAUCAUUGCUGCCAGAUACACUGACUUUGCCUUCCGAGACUUGUUUUUGCAAUUCAUCCUAAAACAAAGAUAUAUAAAAAAGUAAGAACAAAAAACACACGACGGUUAUUUAUAUACAAACGACGUAUUAUAUAAUUUCACACGACGCAAUAACAUAUAAAUCGACGUUAUUAUAAUUUAUCACAACGGUAGUUAUACCGACGUGGUUAGUUUUUUAAAACGACGAAAUGAAUAAACCACCGACGUCUUAUGCUUUAUUUACAGAUAACAGAGGGAUGAUUCAAUAUUCACACCUUUAACGACCUUGUUUAACACAUUUCGACGUAGUAAUUUAAUACAAACGACGCGAAAAUGAACCACCGACAUCUUAUGCUAUAAUUACAGAAAACAGAGUAGUGAUUCCUGAUUUAGACCUUUAACGACGUUUUUAAAAAAAUGUCGACGUGGUAAUAUCAUUCACACGACGCAAAAUAUAACAUAAGACGUGAUAAGAAUUAUUCACAGUUUAAUAAAAAUUUAAAACAGAGUGAGUAGGCUUACAAUUAAUUUUGCUUUCUCUGCCACCUUUGGAUCUGGGAUGUUACCAUGUUUGUCCUGUCUAGCUCUUUUCCAUAAGGUAGAUCGAUCAAUUUCUACCCCAGGCAUGGUUUCCUCCAAUUGAUCCUCCAAACCAGCAUAUCCUUUUCGAGACAAUCGAUGAUUGUACUCAAGUUUCUCCCUAAUCUGUGCAUGUUGAGAAUGCACAGACUCAAAAUCUUUGGAUAACUUUGAAGCUACAAAGGCAUCCCAUUGUGCUUUCUCUAUGAAUUUAUAUGUCUCAGGGGGUUGGCUUAAUCUCUCCCUGUCAUUGAUGUAUGGAAGGAUAUAAUGCCUCGUUAGUGUAGACUUGAAAUCCUUCCAUUUCUUGGCAGCAGAAGCUAACACAGAGUUCUUGCCCCCUUGACCUACCACAAAAGCAAUGUCAACUGCUUCCCAAAUCUGCUCCUUUAUAUCCUUGGGAAUUUGAGCCCAUUUCAUGUCCACAAGUGGAACUCUGGAGCGUGCCAACACACCAAUGUAGGACUGCAUCUCACUAUGUGCUUGGCCAAUUCCUUUCCCCCUUUUAUUGUACUCAACAAUUGGCCUGAGUUUAUGAAGUUUUCUCUUCACAACACGAGGCAUUGUGUUCAUACCUCGACCAGACUUUGAAUCAUCAGAGAUUGUUGUCGUGCUGGUUGGUUCUGUCUCAGCAGAUGAUGAAGAAAACUUCAUCUUCUUCAAAGACUUCUCUUCAGAAGUUACCAUUCCAAGCUCCUUACCUCCAUUUUUCUUGGAGCCAGAGUCCUUACUUUGGUCUUGAGAAACCAUUUUUACAGACAAAACUGCAAGUGAAAAUAUUUCAGGAAAAGAUUAAGAACACAAACGACGGUUAUUAAUAAAAUAUGACGUAUGAUAUGAUUUUAAACGACGCAAUGAAAUAAUCUCAGACGUAAUAAAUGUUUAAAACCAAGGUAAUUAAACAACGACGAAAUAAUAUAAAAUAAGACGUAAUAAUAACUUAUUACGUCGAUAUUUACCGGACGACGUGAUAAUUAACUAUAAACGACGAAAUAUUUAUAUAACGUCGUGGUAUUGAUGUUCACACGACGUCAAUAGUAAUAUACCGUCGUCUAUAUAAGGAUCCAAAAUCCUUCUUUCUUUCUCUGUGAAUGUUUGAUUGUAGAUUUGAUUUUUCUGAACCAUGGUUUUUGUUUUCUAAUUUGAUAAAAUACAAGGCCAAGAAAGAAAGUUUUGGAAUCUUAUAUAGACGACGGUAUUUUAAUAUGACGUCGUUAUAUUAACAUUCACACGACGUAAAAUAAUAAGAUACUGUCGUCUAUAUUAGAUACCAACCCUACUUUCUUUUUCUUUAUAUUUUAUCAAAUUAGGGAAAAACAAAAACCAUUGUUCAGAGAAAUCAAACCUGCAAUUAAACAAGCAAAUAAAAAAAAGACUAUAAUUUUAAAAACAACUUUGUCAAUUUUCAGACGACGCUAGAACGACUGACGAACCGUCGUGGUCUACAUAUUUAACCACGUAAAUAAGAAGCUACCGUCGUCUUAUUUAGUUGAGGUAGUUGUCUUCAAAGUUGGAAACUUUCCCUCUUUGUCUGUAUAUUUUAUCAAACUUGGAAAGAAGUAAAAUGAUUUUGGCCAGAAAAAAGGUAAAAAGAUUUUUCAAACAAAAAACGUAUGAGCAUGCAAAAUAGCAACCAAAAUAGUGAAAAUGAAAUCUUACCUUUUGCGUGCAAUGAAAGCAAGAGGAAGACGAUGUUUAAGUUCAGAGACGACGAAGAAGACGAGAGGAAGACGAUAAGAUACUCUGACAGUGCUCUGACAAGGAAAAAAGUCAAAAAGUUUUCUCUGGGAGAUUGAAAUUUUUAAUCGGGUUUGGAAACAGUGCAUGUGUAAGUCAGGUAGACGAAAAGUUGCUUACAUAUAAAACCAUUUCAAAAAAAUAAUACGGCGGUUACAUAUAACUACGACGUAUAAAUUACAAAAUACGACGGUACAUUUAACUUCGGACGUGGUAAAUAAAUACGACAGUAGUGUUGUAGGUACCGUCGUAAUAAACUCAAAAAUUAAAGUACAUAAGUAAUAACUCGCGUCAUGGUAGAUUAUUUAACACGUCGUUUUUAUUAAUUUACCGACGUUGAUUUUACAAUUUAAACGGCGGUUUUUUUGUAAGGACCGCCGUUGGUUUUAAAAAUUUAUUCUAUAAAUUUGUCGCUUUCAUUCAUUUUCGGUUUACAUUUAGGGUUCCAAGUUCUUCCUCUCUCAGAGACACUGUCUCUCACAUCUCAAAGACAAUAAUUUGGAUGUCUUUCUCAAAGAGAAAUUGAGCUUACUCGCAUCAAAUCUAUGUCCACAAGAAGAAGCUUGUCAACUAGCCUUCUCACUUCCUUGAUCAAGCCUGAUAGGACACUUAGUGCUUCUGAAUACUCCUUGCUUUCCAUCAAAAGAGAUGCAAGCCUGGGCUCCACUCGCUGUCGAAGGAAAGUUCGCUUCUCAGGGAAAUCUGAAGAUCAGAUGUGCCUGAUCCUCUGCUUGAUUUUCUUGGCUAAGAAGAUCCGUCAUAUUUGUGAUAGCCUCUUCCUUUAUCCGUAGAGCUUCAGACGAAGAAGAUGGGUUUCAAGAAUGCGAUAAAGAAUAGAAAUGGCUUCAGAUGGCCUCUAAAGACAUUGUCAAUGCUUUGAACUAUACAAGUCCUGUAGAAAGAUAAAGGACCAAACUGUUAAAGAAACUGAAACAACGGCGGUUUUCUGUUCUACCGUCGUCUUUUUUCGUCGUCUAUAUUAAGGUAAGAUGGCGGUAGAUUUAUAAUUACCGACGUAGAUUAUUUUGUUAAACGUCGUUAAGUGUAAUACAACCGACGUGGAUUUUAUUUUUAAAUUAUAAAUAGAGUUUUUUUUCCCGAAUUCUUUCAGUUUUAGUUUUCAAUUACAAAGCGUGAUAAAUAGAUUUUUCUUUCCCGAGGAAAUUUAAAAUGAGGGAAAUUAAUGUUCUAGAAUUUGUAAACUAACACGACGCAAUAUUACUAACCAGAGGAAAUUAUAAACAGAUUUUGCUUUCCCGAAGAAAUUUUAAAUUAAUUCAGUUUGAAACAAGGACGGUUUUUUGUUAUGCCGUCGUUUUUAACUAACACGACGCAAUAUUUGUUUUGCGACAUGGAAUCUUUUCAUUUAACGUCGUUAGGUUUAAUAUAAUCGACGUGGAUUUGAAUUUUUAAAUUAUGAAUAGAAUUUUUUUUCCCGUGACCUUUCAGUUUAUUUUUCAAUUACAGUGCGUUAUAAAUAGAGUUUUUUUUCCGGAGGAAAUUUAAAAUGAAGGAAAUUAAUGUUCUAGAAUAUGUAAAGUUUCUUUUUUGGAUGACAGAUUUAAAUAAAAUAAGAAUAUAAAAACAACGACUGUUUUUGUAUUACUGUCGUCGUUUUUCGUCGUCUUAAGUAAGACUAAGACGACGUAAUAUAUUUGUUGAGCGACGUUGAUUUGUUUUUUAAACGUCGUUAGGUAUAAUAUAACCGUCGUUGAAAAUUGUCUCUCUGAUUGCAAAUUUGCAACGACGUUAGGUAUAAUAUUUGUAGAUACACAAACGCACACACAUCAUCAACUUCCAAAAAAUUGUCUCUCUGAUUGCAAAUCUGUGUUAUCUGUUAAGAUUAUGAUGUGGAACAGAGUUCCAUCUGGUAAGAUUUCUUAACCCUUGGGAUCUUAGAAAAAUCUGAUUAUGUCGGCGGUUUUCUAUAUAAACCGUCGUGGUUAUUUCAAUUCUUGUCAUUAAGUAGAUCUACCGACGUAGGAUAAGAAAAUCAAAGAAAAAAAUUGUUAACAAAAAUUCUUAUUAAGACGACGGUUUAAAUUAAAGGUACGACGUAUAAAAUGAAUAAAUACGACGUUAAAUUUUAUAGUACGAUUUAAAGAUAACGUCGUAGAACUAUACGAGAAUGACGUCGAUAUAUUUAUAUUUUCCGUCGUUGUACAUUAAUUUAAUACGGCGAUAUUUUGUAUUUUAAAGCCGUGGAUUUGUUUGUAAUUAUACGGCGUCUUAUACGAAAACCUCGUCGUGUUAUUUUAUGAGUAAAAACGGCGGCUUUUAUUGAAAUCGUCGUCUUUACUUUCUACGUCGGUCGAUUCAUAACUUCUGCCGUUCUUUGUUGGCUUUGAUUUUACACUGCGGAAAUCUGUUUCAAAUAGACGUCGGUUGUUUAAUUCGGUACAUCGUUGUUUUUGAACAGCCAUUUGAAUCUCCAUUUUUUAGUUGUCUAAGGUGGUAUUACACGACGGUGUUUUUAGAACCGUCGUCUUUUUAAAAACCACGACGGUUUUCACUUAGACCGUCGUUGUUUUCUGGUCGUCUUUUUCACUUUUUGUAGUAGUGAUUGCUAAAUGGAACAAGGAAAUUACAUAAUAUUACAAAUGAAACUAAGCUCUAGUGAUCUCCAUGUGCCCAAAAAUCAAACCCGAUCCAAUGCAUCUUCGUGGUUUAAUGAAUAUGGCACUUUGCUUGAAAAAGGACUUGCACACUCAAAUAUCUUUUAUAUGCAAAGAGCUUCCAUUGAGGAAUUACUUAAAUAAGUUAUUUGGAGGACACCCUUGUAGGGCCCACUUCACAUUAUAUUUCACUAAUGAAUAAUAAGGCCAUGGAGUGGAAAACAAUUUGAAUCUUUAUUCUGAUUGCUUGAUAUAACGUUUAAUUGGGUUUAAUUGUGAAAAAUACUGUAUACCCACUAAAAUAUCAUUUACCUGUUUGUUUGUUCUGGGCAUUAAAUUCUGUUGGGUAUCUUUGUUUUUAACGUAGACUUUCCCUUCAAUUUAUUUGAUUCCUACAAGGAAAACUUUUGCAGAAGAAGCUACUGGUCCACAUGGUUCUUCAUCCACAAACUUAGACAAUUUAGUGAAGCAAGUGCUAUUGAGAAAAAGUGAAGAUGUUUCCAUAAGAAUAUUGAUGUUAUUAAUUAUCAUUUCCAUUGCCAUUGUCUCAAAUAAUCAACUAUCUGGCAAUAUAUAUGUACUACUGGUCUGUAACCAUGAUGCAUACUAUAUCUAGAAUUUUUUUCUGAUUAAGGUUUCACUACGCUUCAGGCCUUUAACUCUAAAAUCUUAUUGGAGAAUCGGCUAAUAUUUAAUUAUUUUUUUAUACGUAUUUCCUUUUUAUUAUGUUCUAUACAUAUUUAAUUGGAUUACUACUCUCAAGGAAGAUUAUCCUUAAGUAUUAUAUUCAACAAAUUACUAUUCAUGUGUCAGUUGGUUUACAUUUAUUGUAUUAAAUCAAUACUCACCAAUUCUUUAAAGUGUGAGAUAAUUAGUCACAAAUAAUGGUGACUAGUAACCAAAGUCAUUGACCACCCAUUCAAAUGUCACCAAAACUAUUUUGUUGCUAUACAAAUAUGACUAAUGCUUUCUAUUUUGUCGCCGGAUCAAGGCCGUGAAGUUCCGGGUUAAACCGUGAGUUUCCGACGCCGAUUCCAACCACUUGCCGUCCGAAUUGGACUUGGGUGUAGUUGAAUAAAAUGUUCCACUCGUCGAGUAGAACCUGUAGCCGGGAGGGUGGCUUGUAGUUUGGAGAUUUUCCGGUGAAGCUUUAUCGCUUUGGACACCUGCGCUUGUGGCGGCACGUGGGCACUGUAGCAGAGGGGAAUUAUUGUCCCAAUGCAAUCUCCUGGUUGUCACGAGUACGUAGGAAUUCGCGGAUCUCAAUUCGGAUGUCGUUUGACUAUCGAACGGAUUUUCGCAUAGUGUGCGUUAUCCGGGUUCGAUAGGUUAUGACCGUUGGAUCAUUUCCCAAUUAAAUUAUGUUGUUCUAGGUAUUCCUAGGAUCGUGUAGGACUUCGCAGAUCGUGAAUCGGAGCCCGGAUGUUCCAAUUCAAUAACUUAAAGUUUGAGUUUUAUAUUAACCGUCCGAUCGUGCGAUCGUAAGCGAUCUAACCGUCUGUUUUGGACCAAACUUGCGACACGGGUAUCUUAGACCUUGUGGAACCUUUAGGAACUUACGGAUUGUAAAACGGAGGUCGUGGGUCCCGUGGACCCGGUUGACCUGAAUUGGGAAGUUUGACCGCCGGUUGACCGAGUGUCUCCCGAAGUUGUUCUAUCGUCCAAAUUGAGUAGUUGGACCUUAGAAUGUCUCAUUCCUAGUACACUUACUAGAAACUUGGGAAAUUAGGAUAUUUAAUUCAAAGUACUCGUUCGAAACGCUUCGUAUUAAUCUUGUGUACGUAUUCUGAAUUAGGUACUUCGAUCACGCAUACGCAGCAGGCGGGACCCUCUCAGGGUCAAGCAGCGUGGGACUACUUGUGAGUGAACUUUGUUUUCAAAUCUUAUACAUGUUUUUAUUGAUGAAAGAUUUAUGCAUAAUGUUUUUAAUGAUUUAUUGAAUAUAUUAUAUUCAUGGGUUGAAUUUGAUGUUUGUAUAGCGCUUUGUCAAUAUAUUGUGGGUUUGGCAUUGUUGGGUAUUGAAAGCAUAUUUUAUAUGGAUUUUGGGAAAUAUUAUGCAUGAUGUUUUAAACGGUAUUUUGGAUAUAUUAUUUAUGAAAUUGUUGAAAGUGAUAUUUUUAUGAGGCAUUGAAAAUAUAUUUUGGGUUUUGACAUAUUUGAGUAUCUUGAGUAUGAAUAUAUGGAUUUUGAGGAUUUCUAUAUAUAUUUGGCUAUGUGUGAGGUACUUGGGUUGUUGAGAUGAGAUUGUGGAAAGUGGUGAGUAUAGAAUGUCAGUUUGGUGUGAAGCACUACCCUAUGUACCUCCCCUGAUUUGGAACUUGGAUAUAGAGACUUGAGAUACUUGGAAUUGUCGGAACCCGGGGCAUCCUUGACGGGAUGUUGCUGUACACCCUUAAUUGGGUAGUCUGCGCGUGUAGGACUGAUCACAGACGUAUGAGUUUUGAGGUUAUCGACGGUACGUGCUGGCUGAGAGUUGGUCCCCCAGUUGGACGGCUCGUUCCCUAGUCACAUAGUGGAUUGAGGACUUUUCAUGAGGACUCUGCCAAGGUGACUAGUCAAAAAAUCCCCCGGUUCGAUUGUUUCCCCGGUACAACUAGGUGAUGGUCAUAUUUAUAAUAUAUAUAUCUCUUAUAUGAUAUAUUUAUAUAUAUAUAUAUAUAUCUAUUGAUUCAUUCUUGUUUAUCGGUGUGGAUACUUCCUUGCCGGUCUUACCAAUGGGUACGCUUUCGAGAGUUUAGUUGUGAGAUUUAUAAGUUUUGGAUGGUGGGUUUUGUAAAGCGUUCUUUAUGGAUUUUGAACUUCGUAUCUGGUAUUGAUUUGUUUUGAUAUAUAUAUAUUAUAUAUAUAUAUACUUGAGUAUGAUGGUUUUGAGAUGCAUGGGAUUUCUUGCAUGGUUUUCUAAACGGUGGGGUUAUAUUACGUUGGUUUACAUUGAACUGAAGUUAUUUUUGUCCACUCACAAUUUUCUGUUUUGCGCCCCCCAGCCAGUAGUUGACUGAGCUCCGCAGCAGAGCCGGAUCAUGAGCUUCCGAACCUUGAGUCUUCGUAGGACUCUUUCUUCAUGUUUUUCCCUUUGAACUCUGUUUUGUUGAAAUUGAAGUUCUUAGCCAUGCUCUGUUAUCGCCCCUGUUAGGGUUUGAUUUGUGAGGCCGGAGGCCAUUUUGUUGUAAACUGUUUAUUCGCUUUAAAGCAUGCUGCUGGUUGGGAUUAUUCUAUGUUUAUGCAGGUUGAAUUUUUGUUGGGUUUGUUCAAUUCACAGGGGAGACUUUGCCAAAAUUUUGGUAGAGAGUAUGGGUUUUUAGUAAGUGGGCCCGGCAUCGGGAUGAUGUCGGAACAAAGACGGGAUUCGCCCUGGUUUCCGGGAAUUACGUAUAUAAUACAACUUCAAUAUUUAUAUGUAUAUUAUUUCAUUAAAUAUUUAUAUAUACAUAUAUAUGUUCUUUUGAAUAAAAGGGGUUAAAUUAUAUAUUUGUUCAUUAUUUCUUGAGAUGCCAUUAGAUGGUUAUUGGAUGCUUUCUAUACAUAUAUAUUAAUAACAUGGAUUAAGAGUUUAGACGUGGCAUCCUUACAUUGUUUUCUUGGAGAGAAAGACUAUUUCUCUCUUAUCUUAAUUAGGAUGCCGGAUGUGGCUUUUUCCAUUAAAUUAGUUGAUGCAUUACCAUGCAUUUGCACAGCUCAUGCUUACAAUUUGGUGAGUAAGCUUUAUCUUAGCUUCAAUAGGUGUCACAGCCUUUGGAAAUAAAUCUCCUAGCGUUGACACAUAGCAACUUAUAAAAUAGAGUGGCAACCAAGUUAUCUUUUCGUAUAAAUAAGAUAAUGUCCUUUGUUAUUAUCCUCUCCAUUGUUACGCCAUCUCACCACCAAUAAAUAGAAGUUUUAAUGGAAGGAAGAGAUAUCAGGCAAAGGGUAAAGAGAGAGGGAGAGAGAGAUGAUGAUGAUGAAAUUCUUAGAAGAGAUAUAGGAUUUAGCUUGUAUUUUCUUAACUUGGAGAGAGAGAGAUGAUGAUGAAAUUCUUAGAAGAGAUAUAGGACUUAGCUUGUAUUUUCUUAACUUGGAGAAAUGCUUUAGAAUCGAGGUAGGAGUUUCUUGGUGACCUUUUAUAAAGAUUGAUCAAAUUAAAUUUCGUGAGCAUUAUAUCAUGCAUGAUAUUAUUAUUCGAUUAUUAUUGAUAUUGGGUGUUUAAGUGUUGUUAAUUAUCAUAUUAUUUUAUUAAUAUUGACAUGAUCAUAUGUUAUCGGUGAUGGCUGGAAUUCUUGGGUUGAUAAAGAAAGUAUGGAAAAGGGGAUAAUGGGAAGGAUCUUUUGUGUAGUUGAGUCUAACUCUUGGUAAGUACCAGGUCUCAGGGAUCCCGCAGCGCACAUGGUUUUUAUUGGGCGAUUCAGGACUGGCGACAGGGAGUUAGACAAGAUGACUAACGAAAGGGAAAUUAUGGGAUGAUUGAAAUGGGUGUUAGUUCAUACAAAUGGGCAUUCGGGACCAAGUGGUAUAAGCAUGGUAUGGGACGUGCAAAUCUGCUUGUCCAGUUAUAUGAAUUAACAGGAGUAGAUGAAGAGCAUUCAUUCAUGCAUUAUUAUUAAUAAUGUGAUAUUUGGCUGUGUGAUUGCAUGUCACUUAAUUUAGAUAUAUCAAUCUACUGCGGUAAGGUCUCAUGUCCCUACUGAGCGGUGAUUGUUCAUUCCUCACCCUGUUUAAUUUUUCAGAUGAAUUAGUAGGCAAGACAAAGACUAAACCAAUUGAGGCUAAAUUAGAUGAGAGUGAUAGAGCUUUAUUUUUUUAAUUUUAAAGUUGUAAGAUUUUGGGAGCUAUUUUUAUAAGAAAAGUUUAUUUUAUGUUUCAACUUCCUGUUAUUCUAUUUUACUUUUUAUUUUCUCAUGCACUAGGCACGAGGUUUCCACUAACCCCCAGGUCCGAGGCGUGACAGAAUGGUAUAAGAGCUUUAGGGAUUAAAUACCCUUGGGAACUGUGGUAUAGUAUUACCACAAAGUAAAUUUGAAUUGGUGAAGUAAGUUAGUGACCUAACUUUUCAGGAGCAUAUUUCUUUUUAUGAUUAAGUGUAGUUUACGUAAUAAUUGUUUAGUAUUGUUUUAUAUAUGUUGGUUUAAUUUGGUAGAAAUAUUUGGUAAAGGUUCAAUUGUUAAGAUAGCUAGAGUAGAUGGGAAACGUGACAAUGAUAAGAAUGGUAGCAUGAGGGUAAUACUAACCAUUCAGGAUAUGGCCUUUGCAAUACGUGAAACGAAUCAACAAAACCAAGAACCCCAUCAAGAGAUUCAAGGUGGUCAAACAAUGAGUGUUAAAGGAGAAAGAUAAAUGAACAAAGAGUUCUAGGAAAUCUGAAAGUGGCUAUUGCUUCUACCUAUUUGGGAGGAGCAAGGAGACCAGAAUAACUCACUCAAGGACAUGUGUAUGCUAUUGGACAAGUGACAAAGCAAAAUGAACCUACUAUGGUAGAAGGUACAUUUCUAGUUUACAACUCAUGGGCUAAGAUAUUGUUUGACCGGUGCUACAAAUUCAUUCAUCUCUAUUUCGUUUGCGUUUAUUCUUGGAUUAGAAUAUGAAUUUAUGAAAUCUUCAUUAAUGGUUGGAUCUCCAUUGGGUAAAUGUGUCGAAGUUAAUAAGGUGUGUAGAUCUUACAUAAUAGAGAUAUCAUAUCAUAAAAUUGUUGUUGACCUUAUGAUAUUGGAAUUAAUGGAGUAUGAUGUAAUAUUAGGGAUGGACUUGACCCAAUUUAAAGCUAUUUUUGAUUGUGGUAGAAAGAUGGUGACUAUGACUCUUAGCGAGGGAAAACAUGUAGUUUCUAUGGAAGUAGGAAUACUCACAUCAAUCUUGGAUAAUGGAAAUUGUAAUUAUUUGAGAUUGAUUGCUCACAUGGUCACUGAGGAUCUAAGUAAUACCAAGCUUGAGCUUAUCCCAAUAGUGAAAGAUUUCGGUGAUGUUUUCCCAGAAGAAUUAUAUGGAAUCCCCCUAGAAAUGGAGUUUUUCUAUAGAUAUUUAUCCUGGCAUGUCACCUAUAUCUAUACCUCCACAUUGAAUGGCACCAAUAGAGUUGAAGGAACUCAAAACACAACUUCAAGAACUUGAAAGUAAAGGUUUUAUUCGUCCUAGUACCUUACCAUGGGGGUUUUUUCUCCAUUCUUUGUGAAGAAAAGUGAUGGAAGUUGUAACACCCCGACCUCAAAUUUAACCUUUAUUUAAUUAUUUAAUUAUUUAAGGGCAUUUUGGUCAUAUUUUUAACCGGAGAGAGUUUGGGGCAGUGACUAUGUCACAUCCCGGGAUCAACUCCGUCGUAGCACGAUAUUGUCUGCUUUGGGCCCCCCCUCUCUGGCCCUCACGGUUUUGUUUCUGGGAGCUCACGAGCAACUUCCCAGUGGGUCACCCAUCCUGGGAUUGCUCUGGCCCCCAACUCGCUUAACUUCGAAGUUCCUACGACUUCGAAGCCAGUGAGCUCCCAAAAGGCCUCGUGAUAGAUGGAUGCGGGUGUGCACAUAUAAGGCACAUCGCCCCCUCUCCGUUGGUUGAUGUGGGAUCUUACAAUCCACCCCCCUCAAGGGCCCGACGUCCUCGUCGGCACACUCACACCACACGGCAGAGUGGCUCUGAUACCAAAUUGUCACAUCCCGGGAUCAACUCCGUCGUAGCACGAUAUUGUCCGCUUUGGGCCCCCCCUCUCUGGCCCUCACGGUUUUGUUUCUAGGAGCUCACGAGCAACUUCCCAUUGGAUCACCCAUCCUGGGAUUGCUCUGGCCCCCAACUUGCUUAACUUCGAAGUUCCUACGACUCCGAAGCCAGUGAGCUCCCAAAAGCCCUCGUGCUAGAUGGAUGCGGGUGUGCACAUAUAAGGCACAUCGCCCCCUCUCCGUUGGUUGAUGUGGGAUCUUACAGACUAGUAUUUUUAGAUAGGUCGUACUGAGACGAGUUCAUAGACAUGUAGUGGGCUCGAAUCGGAGUUCUAACGAGAGAGAUAUGGUCAAAAGAAGCCCAGUGGCACAAUCGUAAAUAUUUCAAAAUGGGAUUUUUUUUAUAAAAACUCAGAUUUUUUUUUCUCUCUCUCUCUCUCUCUCUCUCUCUCUCCCGCGGGUGUCUCUCUCCUCUCUCUCGCGCGCGACGGCAGCUGGCCACGUUUUGGCCGGCCGUGCUCUCCUCCGGCCACCAAUGACGACGGGACCGGUACCAAAAUGACCGGGCCGUCGUCCUCUCGAGCUGCUCUAGCUGAUGGUUGGGUAGGAUUAGAUCGAUUCUUAGCGUAGACAAUUCGAUUUUCGAAUUGAAAUUCGGCCGGUUUUGGGAUCGCGAUUCCGGCCACUUCCGGUCAGUUUUUGGGGUAGGUCCAAGAACAAAAGUGGCUCCAAAUAGGGUGUUAUACCUAGGGUAGGAGUUUUGAGCUGUGGUUUUGAGAUUUUCCGGCGAAGCCGUUAUCGCUUUGGGCACCCACGCGCUGCCGGCGCGUGCGGCGGCGUGUGGGCACUGUAGAAAAAGUAGCAAUGUGUUCCGAUGAGAUCCUUAGGUUGUCACGAGUGCGUAGGAUUUCACGGAUCUCAAUUCGGACGUCGUUUGACUAUCGAACGGAUAUUCGCAUAUUGCGCGUUAUCCAGGUGCGAUAGGUUGGGGCCGUUGGAUGGACCCAAAUUUAAUAUAUGUUGAUCUAGGUAUUUCUAGGAUCGUGUAGGAAUUCACGGAUUGUGAAUCGGAGCCCCGGAUGUUCCGAAAAAUAAUUUUAAAGUUUAUAUUUUAUAUUAACCGUCAGAUCGUGCGAUCGUGAGCGAUCCGACCGUCCGAUCUGAACCAAACUUGCAGGACAAGAUUCCUAUACCUGGUAGAACCCAUAGGGACUCUCGGAUCGAAAAUUGGAGGUCGUGGGUUCCGCAGGUCCUUUUGACCAGGGUUAGAGUAGUUUGACCCUUGGUUGACCGUGAGUCUCCCGGAGUAAUCUCACCUUUCUAGGGGAGAUUAUCGGGUACUAGAUUAUUGUGGAGGGUUACACAAUAUUAGAAUUAAUUUAUAUAUUUAUAAUUAUAAUAUGUUUGUACAAGAGUACAAAAGAGUCUAGACUGUCAGUUUGGAGUGCUAUACCCACUACUUUAGGUACCUUCCCAAAUUUUGGAUUCACUACAAGCACCACCAAGUGAAAGUUAGGUCUCACAUGGCGUAGGUUAUCCGGCGUUAAGACAGGCCCCAUACGUGGCGUUGGUUGUACCGGCGUAUGGGGAGAUAUUGUGAUAUUGUGUUGAGAUCGCACGUGGCGUAGGUUAUCCGGCGUGUCGACAGACCCCAUACGUGGCGUUGGUUGUACCGGCGUAUGGGGAGAUUUUUGAUAUGAUAUUGAGGUCCCGCGUGGCGUAGGUUAACCGGCGUUGGGACAUGCCCCAUACGUGGCGUUGGUUGUACCGGCGUAUGGGGAGAGAUGUGAUAUGAUGUGCAGGUUUCGCGUGGCGUAGGUUAUCCGGCGUUGUGACAGAUCCCAUACGUGGCGUUGGUUGUACCGGCGUAUGGGGAGAUAUUAUGAUAGUAUGGCAUGGUCGCACGUGGCGUAGGUUAUCCGGCGUGUUGACAGGCCCCAUACGUGGCGUUGGUUGUACCGGCGUAUGGGGAGAUAUUAUAUGAAAUACAAAGAAAUGAAAUAAGGUAUCGCCCAAGUGUGGAAUUAGGUUUUAUGGAAGAACUACGUGUGGCUUGAUCCCUCAAGGAGGGUACGUAGGCAGCCUAAGGUUAUUAGCUGCAGCCGCAGACUAAAUAUUAGUCAUAAUUGGUAUUUGAAUUGUUUGGUAGUUGGUUAAGAAUUAUUGGAAGGCCGAAGGCCAUUUGUGCGAAUUGCAUGAAAUUAUAUUGUGCAUGCUGCCAGUUGGGAAUAUUAAAUGUGUUUUCAUGCAGGUAUAAAUUUUGGGAAAUGUCCAAUUUAUAGGGGAGACUCUGCCGAAUUUUCGGCAGGAAGUCUCGGUUUUGAGUAUUUGGGCCUGAUAUCGGGAGGAUGUCGGGAAUUUCAAAGGGUUCGCCUCGAGUUCUGAAAAAUUCGGAGCGGGUCCUUUCAGAAGUCUUAGGAUGUGUUUUGUUGCAAGCUAACAAAGUAGUUGCAUACGACUUUUGUCAAUUGAAAUGACAUGAAAAGAAUUAUCUAACACAUGAUCUAGAAUUGGCAACCAUUGUUCACACACUGAAGAUAUGGAGAUAUUAUUUGUAUGGGGAACGUUUUGAACUCUUUUUGGAUCAUAAGAGUUUGAAGUAUUUAUUGACUUAGAAGGAGUUGAAUUUAAGACAAAAGCGAUGGAUGGAAUACCUGGAAGAUUAUGAUUUUGACUUACAUUAUCUUCCAGGAAAGGCUAAUGUGGUAACAGAUGCUUUAAGUCAAAAUCCUCAAGGAAUUGUAGCAAGUUUGUAUGAUCAAAGGUGGAAGAUGGUGGAGUCUCUUUACGAUUUUGACCUAUAUAUAGGUGCGCAUGAGGAUUGUGCAUAUCUAUGUAAUUUGGUAACUCACCCCACUUUGAUUGGAAGAAUAAUUGAGGCACGGGAUUUGGAUUCUAUGUCUGAAGACAUUCGAACUAAGAUUACAACUAGAAAGACACAGGAAGGAUGGAGUAUCCUCACAAGCAGUGGAUUAAGAUAUUUGAAUAAGUUUUAUGUACCAAAUAUUUCUGAUAUAAGAAAUGAAGUUCUCAGAGAAAGUCAUCAUUCACCUAUACAAUUCAUUCUAGAGGGACAAAGAUGUAUCGUGAUUUUAGACGUAAUUUUUGGUGGAGUAGUAUGAAGGGAGGUGUAGAAAUAUUUGCAGCAAAAUGUCUAACAUGUUAGCUGGUGAAAACUGAAUAUCAGAAACCGUCAAGUCCAUUACAGCCAUUACCAGUAGUAGAAUGGAAAUGAGAUCAUAUAACAAUGAAUUUUGUUACAGGUUUACCUAAAUAUCCAAAAGGACGUGAUGCAAUAUGGAUUAUGGUGGAUCGUUUGACCAAAUCUGCACAUUUCAUACCAGUCAAAUCAAUGGAUUCCACUAAAAAUCUUGGAAAGCUUUACGUUAGAGAUAUAGUAAGAUUACAUGGAAUUCCUAUUUUGAUUGUAUCGGAUAGAGAUUCCAAGUUUACUUCUAAAAUUUGGGGAAGCUUACAGAAAGUGUUAGGUACGCAACUAAAUUUGGUACCGCCUUUUAUCCCCAAACUUAUGGACAAUUGGAGAGAACUAUUCAAAUUUUAGAGGACUUGUUGAGAGCAUGUAUUCUAGAUUUGGAGGGAAGUAGUUGGGAAGAUCAUUUAGUGGUAGUAGAGUUUGCCUACAACAACUAUCAGUCUAGCAUUCAGAUACCACCUUAUGAAGCUUUAUAUUGAAGACCUUGUCAAUCACCUGUGUGUUGGACUGAAGUAGGAGAAACUGUAUUGCUAGGACCUGGUUUGGUACAAGAGACAACUGAAGGGAUUAAAGUUAUCAAGCAACGUCUUUUAACUACUCAAAGUUGACAAAAGAACUAUGUAGACCGAAGAAGGAAAACAUUAAGUAUUGACGUGGGUGAUUAUGUAUUUCUUAAACUCUCACUACUAAGUGGAGUAAAAAAAGGUUUGGGAAGACUGGAAAAUUAUCACCAAAGUUUGUUGGACCAUUUGAAAUCUUAGAAAGGAUGGGUGAAGUAGCUUAUAAGUCAGCAUUACCACCUCAACUGUUGAAUGUACCUGAUGUUUUCCUUGUUUCUAUGCUUCGAAAGUAUGAGCCUGAUCCAACCCAUUUUCUAGAUUGAGGAGAGCUCAAUUUAGAUGAGGAACUGUCAUUUGAAGAAAGACCGACUCAGAUUUUGGAUUCUAAGGAACAAGUGUGACGUACGAAAAUAAUACCAUUGGUCAAAAUUCUUUGGGUACAUGGGAAUACAUUGGAAGCUACAUGGGAAUUAGAAACUAAAAUGUGUAAGAAGUACCCAUAAAUUUUUCCCUUAUUCCAGUUUUUCUUUUUAACUCGAAAUUUCUUUAAGGAGAGUAGAUUGUGAGAGUCUGUUUCUUAAAUGUUCAUUAAAGAAAAAUAAAUGUUAUUAUAUAUUCUUAAGUAAUUAUCUUGCUAAGAAGGAAAUGUAUAUUUAUAAUUGUUUUACGUUUAUAAUACCAUUUCAAUAGUUAUGUGUAUAUUAUUUCAUUAAAUAUUUAUAUAUACAUAUGUUCUUUUGAAUAAAAAGGGUUAAAUUAUAUAUUUGUUCAUUAUUUCUUGGGAUGCCAUUAGAUGGUUAUUGGGUGCUUUAUAUACAUAUAUAUUAAUAACAUGGAUUAACAGUUUAGACCUGGCAUCCUUACAUUGUUUUCUUGGAGAGAAUGACUGUUUCUCUCUUAUCUUAAUUUGGAUGCUGGAUGUGGUUUUUUCCAUUAAAUUAGUUGAUGCAUUACCAUGCAUUUGGACAGCUCAUGCUUACAAUUUGGUGAAUAAGUCUAUCUUAGCUUGAGGUGGAGUUUAUAAUUUCAAUAGGUGUCACAGCCUUUGGAAAUAAAUCUCCUGGCGUUGACACAUAUAUAGCAACUUAUAAAAAAGAGUGGCGACCAAGUUAUCUUUUUGUAUAGAUAAGAUAAUGGGCUUUGUUAUUAUCCUCUCCACUGUUACCGCCAUCUCACCACCUAUAAAUAGGAGUGUUAAUGAAAGGAACAUAUAUCAUGCAACAUGAGAGAGAGAGAGAGAUAUGAUGAUGAUGAUGAAAUCCUUGGAAGAGAUUAGGACUUAACUUGUAUUUUCUUAACUUAGAGAUAUGUUUUGGAAUCGAGAUAGGAGUUUUUUGGUGACCUUUUACAAAGAUUGAUCUAAUUAAAUUUUGUGAGCACUAUUGUUCACCCGUGUUCGUGUUUAACUCCUGAUGUGGAAGGGCGAAGUUCCCCACUGGCUUGAAGACCACUUGCUGGUCGACAAGUCAGCUUUCUUUGGUGUGUGAGCGUGCCACUGCUAGCAAUGUAGAUUCUAGCAGACUUAUUUUGAAAGUGGAUAACUUGCGCCUCAAGUUACUGGCUUCUAAAACAAAACGAUUGUGAAUUUGGGUGAGGAAUAUCUCCCAAGUAAGUUCUUUUCUUGCCUCAGACUGGUGAGGACUUUCAUAAUUUAUCUCAGUAUCAAAUGGUUGUUCUGGCCAGAAUGGAUAAUAAUAAAGUACUAUUUUCAGGCAGAACUCCCUUUUACAAAAUUAAGCAGGGAGAAACCGACUCUAGAAAGGCAAAAAGAUGGCUGAAACUCCAUUUCUGCCUGGGUGGAAACUUCUAAUCCGGGCUGGACUGGGCAUGUCUACGCUGGACUGUACUGUCGACAACUUUAGCUUCUUGGCUUCAGCUGUAAAUCGAUACCAAAGUUCAAUUUUGGCAGAGCUUCAAUCUACUUCAAGCCUUGGGAGACUUUUGAGCGGGCAGAACUGCGACUUCUUCAGUUUGAAGGGACAGAAGUGGCUAUUCGUAUUCAGCAAGCUGGAACUAUGCUAUAAAAUUUGUUGAGGUUUUCAUAUUUGUGAAAACUCAAACUGUGUUUGUCUUGGCUGUUGCUAAACCAAACUUGUAACGAGAGGGAUCUCGCUUUCAGAGGACUUAUUUUCUAAGUCUGAACUUCGGAAUUCUGAUCUAAAGCUGGUUUUCUUUGGAUCCAAGUGAGCUUUUUCUUGUUUGUUUUUUGUGAUUGAUUGAUGCAUUGAGUGUCCUUUGUUCCUUUGCCUACUUUCGUUUUUAUAAGAGACCCUCCUGGGGAGGUGAUUUUUAAUCCUAAAUAAUGGGCGGCAAAAAGAUCUCUUAUAAUAUAAAGUAAGAAGGAUUUCUUAUCAAUCAAGACAGAUAGGUUCUGAGCAGUCACCUCCUAAAGCAGUCUCUUGCCUGGUUUCCUGGGUGGCAGUUUCUAAUUCAAACCACCGCCACCAUCUGUGUAGGCUUUUUAUGGCGGUUUGGCUUUUUCUUUUAUAUUUUCUGAAUGGUUCCCUAUUUCCCGUUCUAAUUUAGAAAGCGUGAUCCGUGAAUCCCUGGGGGGGUGGUGCAUCGAUUUGGAGCAAAAUCUUGAACAUAGAUGGGUUUUUUGAUCUUCAAUUGGCAGUGUUUCAGAGACGUCCCUUUCAUAUUUUUAAAUUUCAGUCGGUAUUGCUGACUUUUCUAAAGCUGAGGCAAUCACGUGGGUGUGUUUUUGAUCCCUUGGGUCUGAACCUAAUCAAUAAUUCAUGGGCUGAUCUUUUGAAGCCCAUCUUGUCAGUUUCCUCUUUGGGCCUUUCUUUGGGCUGAAGCUUUGUUUUCAACAUUCUUGGUGUGAAGCCCAAUCUGUCUGGAUCCUAUUUUGUUUUUCUCAAGUUUUCGGGCUGGGCAGGCAAUUUCAUCAUGGGCUUGUCUCUUGGUUUUUGGUGUGCCGAAUUUUGGGCCCAAACAAUGCCCCCAUUAAGUCUGAAUCGUUUUUUGGACGGUUUUAGACUUAAUGUUUUGCCAUUUAAUUCGCGCACCAGUUUCUUCCGUCUUUUCGCCCACGUCUGCCAUGUUUGCUUGCUACGAACUAGAGUUCGUGGGAAAACGGCUAGUUAUUAGCUAGUUACUAGCUAAUAAUCAUCAGGUGCCGUCCCAUCUUCUUCUUCCCACGUUUUCGAGCCCCUCUUUAAAAGAAAUUCAAAUUCAUAGCCUCUGAAAACCCUAAACCUUCCAACUCUUAUUCCUGCGAGCUUCUUUCGAGAUCUCCAUAUCUUUCUUCAAACCUCUCCUUCUUCUGUUUCUGCCUUUGAAUCAGAAAUGUCUUCCCCAAGGUCCCGUGCUCAAUCCUCUUCCGCUCCAAUUCCUCCCGAUUAUAUCACUGGGAGCGGGAUUAAUGCUCACGCGAUAGAAAUCAGGAGCAAGCUUCAUCCCUUUGCCCAGAAGAAUCUGGACGAGAAUGUCCUCCAUUUGUUCGAGAAUACCCUGGUGUUAGGGCCUCACUGGUUUGGUCCUGUUCCAGCUGAGAUGGCAGAACUGCUAAAAAAGGAUGCCGAGGCUCCUUUGUGUUUUGAGAGCUCUUCUGCCCUGGCCUAUCAUUCUUGGGUUAGCAAGAAUUUGAGUCGAUCUUUCCCGUCCAGCGAGGUGAGGAACAGUUCCGUCAAAUGGGCAGACUGGAUUGACAGACUUCUCCCGAGAUAUGGGGGUCACUGGAGGAGAGCUGGGAUUUAUGACGCCAUUCUUCUGUCCAAACAGUCGAUUAACAGAGAUGAGAACCUGCUUGCUGCUGCCCUGUGUUUUUGGAAUUCUGCCAGCAACACAUUUGAUUUCCGUGUGGGUCCCAUGGCUCCAACUCUGCUGGAUAUGGCUCAGAUUUUUGGGUUUAGGCCCCAUGGCAGACCUGUUGAUGCUGUUGGGGACUAUCACAGGCGAAAGAACCAAGAGAAAGUGGCUACCCCCUUCACUGUCUCCCCAGCCACGAUCAACCAGAACUGUUCUUUCUCCAAUUAUCUGAAGAGAUUCAGUGCUGAGAAGGACAAAGAUCAGCAACAUAUGUUGUUCCUUCUAUAUUGGCUGAACCGAUUUGUCUUCCCCAAUCGGUCUUCGGCAGUUCUGCUUGAGUAUAGACAUCUGGCAAAAGCUCUUCACAAUCACACUGAUGUGGGGCUUGGACCAACAGUUCUGGCCCACCUUUUCAAGAAUCUGCAUACUGCCACUCUGGAAAAUCCGCUGAACCUGUCUGCCCCUGGCGCAUUCUGGAUGAUCCAGAUCUGGCUGCAGGUAUAUUUCCCUGAGUUAAGGUUCCCAGACAUAGUUCUGCCUGAAAACCAAGUUCUGGCUCUUCCCCUGAUGUCUGCAGAAGUGCCUAAGCGCUCUCUUGAGGAGUAUUUGAUGUUCUUCAGGCAUUGUACCAAGAGGUCGGCUGCUCAGUGGCAAGUGGUGAUCAGAAGGACCUAUCCCUGGUUCCAGACUGUAUUUUGGCUUUUUGAGAAGGAGCCAGAAGAUGAGGCUGCCAGAACAGACUUUAGGAAGAAGUUCUUGAGCAUUACUCUGCCUAGAGAUCUGCCUCAUGGUGGGGGCAAACCUCCAAACUAUCAUCUGGGGGCAGAAGUCUAUCAUCCUAACUUCUGUGCAAGGCAGCUUGGCUGUCCUCAGCUUAUUCCGCUGAAAUCAUAUCGUAGUUGCAAUCGGGCCUCUUCUUGGAGGGAUGCAGAUGAUCUGGAGGUGCACAAGGAUGCCCGGUGUGCAGUGAAUAAGAUCAACAAUAGCACGGAUGCCCUCUAUCCCUCGUGGGAACCAAAUUCCUGCAGUUCCGCCGAUUUUGAUGCCUGGUGGCACGCCAGAUUCCAGAGUCUGCCGGCUUCUGUCACUGCUCUCAAAGUGCUUUUUGAUGGUUGGGAGAAUUGGCACACUUUUGCGGAUGGGGAUGCUAGAGCGCACCUGAUCCAGACCAUCAAAGAUAUCAAUGCGCAGAUCAUAGAAGGUAGACAUCUAAUUCUGUCUGUGAUUUUGUUCUGUCUUGGUUGUCGAUCUCUAACAUAUGUUCUGCCUGUUUUAGAUCCUUCUUUGACCAGCGUAGGUGGGCAAUCUGUUCAUGCUGGAGAAGUGAUUGGUAAGUCUUUUUCUUUUAGUUCUAUUCUAUCCCUUCCAGCUGGAUUGGUUUCUAAUGUCUAAUGCCUUGGUGCAGUCUCUUCUGUUAUUGCUGCCGGGGACUUGGAGCUCCCCUCUGCAGAUGAAGGAGAUGAGGUCCAGACAGAACAAACACCUGCCGAGGCCGCUCUUUCUGCCAGAAGAAAAAGGAAAGGGCCUGCCCUUCCUUCGGACAAUAUCAUUCGGCCUGGUAUUUCAGGUAAGCUCAUGAUGUUCCAACCAUUUUUUUAUUCUGUCUUGCCUUCUUUUCCCUAAUACUGCUUUUCUGUGCAGCUGGAAGUCCUUCCCCUCCUCCUACCAAGUUGAAAAAACUUAGAAAGAAGAGUGAGGAGGAGUAUGUCGCUGCAGAAGAAACGGCAGCAGUCCCCACCACUACCUCUAGGACGGAUGAAGAGCUGCGAGAGGCUUUUGAGGAGGUGGAGCAAGAAAAAGAAUUGGAAGAGCUGGAAGAAACGCCUCAGAACAAAACGGCAGUGGUGGAAGAAGAGGUAAGUUUUAUUUCGAUGAUUCGCAUCAGUUCCCUUCUUGCCCUGUUUCUUUCGUUCUGACCCCCAUUUUGUAGGAGGAGAUUCUUGCUGAGGUGAUUGCAGAGAGCAUUGCCUUGGCGCAGAAGCAACAAGGGGGUCCAAGGGCUGAGCUGACUAGCUCAGAACUAGCCCUAUUUGAGGAUGCCGAUGAGGAUGCCGAGGCAGAGCAUUCUACUGCCGUUCCAGCGGCUGAGGAUCAGGCGGAACGGUCUGCAUCAGACCCUGUGGACCAGGCAGAAUUAACUGUUGUGGUUCCGGAGGCUGAGGUGGGAACGACUGCAGCUGCUCCUGUGGUUGUGGUAAUUUUCCUCCUUGAUUGUUCAUGUUUUUCUGCUGUUCUGUCUGUUCUAACAGUUGUAGUCUUUCUAGGUGGAAGUGCCUAAGGCUACUGGUGCUCUGGCUGCGGUAUCCAGCCCCCUGAAACCUCCCAUUGUCGCUGUAAGUUUUCAUAACUUUUGAGCCUCCUUUAUCUUCCACUUUCUGCCUGGUCUUAACUUAUGUUCUCUUCUGCAGAUGCCUAUUCAUUCCUUUCCAGGAUCAUCUGCCACGGCUUCUUUUGCUGAUCCAGAGCUGGAAGAGUUUGAAGCCAUGGAUCUGGAUGCUCAACUGGAGAGGCUGGAGAAACUCAGCUCUCCUCCGAGCAAGGCAAAAUCUAGAGCAGUGCAAGAGGCCAUGGAGAGGUUAAGAAUCUGGCAGUCGACUGAGCUGGAAUUUGAUGAAGAUACAGGGGCUCUAGAUCAGCUGAUGAAGGACCUGGACCUGCUGCAUAGACAGAACAUGGCUCCGAGGCCUAUUCUUGAGAUGGGCCUAAGCCUGGCCAGAGAUGUGCUUAAUCUGCAUGAUCGCUAUGAAGAUCUUAGGCCUACGUUCAAAACUUCUGAGUUCUGUAAGGCCACACAUGAAGCCAAUCUGGCUGACUUUGCUAGGCAGAAAACAGAACUGGAUCAGAUGGUGGCCGGAUAUAAGGAGGCCAAGGCUACCGCGGAUAAGUUGGAGAAGCAGAUUGAAGAACUUCAAAAACAACUGGCAGAGUGUAGGGAGGUGCAGAACAAACUUGGGGCUGGACUGAGUUCGAAAACCAAAGCCACCUUCCUUGUGCAGAGAAUGGUUGCAGCUUCCAGGCCAGCUUUGGAAAUCGCAGAAGCCUCGAUUCAUCAAGGAGUGCUGCUCCAGAAAGAACUCUCUGUCAAGAAGGCGAAUCUGCAGGAAACCCUUAGAAAAUUAGGGUUUUAGUUUUUCAUUUCUGUUUAUUUAUUUUUUUGGACAAAUUUGCCGCUAUGGUGGCUAUUUUUAAAUAAAGUUUGUUCUGCUUUCCUUUUAAAUAGCAUUUUACUAUUUUCAUUUACCCUUGACGUAAUAAACAAAACAAUACUGUGAAAGUAGAAACGAAACAAUCUUUAAAGCAAAAAUGGAUUCAAAAAAAAAAAAAAGAAAAGUCAGCCUUGUUCUUUUUCUAUCCCGGGGUCUGUCUGUACAGCUUGUGAAUCCCACAUGGUUGGGUAGAAUUUUUUUAACCAUUUGCCAUUGAUUGGGACGUUGUGAAUAACUCCAUCUCUGUCCUGCAACCUGUUCACCCGUUUUCGUGUUUAACUCCUGAUGUGGAAGGGCGAAGUUCCCCACUGGCUUGGAGACCACUUGUUGGUCGACAAGUCAGCUUUCUUUGGUGUGCGAGCGUGCCACUGCUAGCAAUGUAAAUUCUAGCAGACUUAUUUUUAGAGUGGAUAACUUGCGCCUCAAGUUACUGACUUCUAAAACAAACGAUUGUGAAUUUGGGUAAGGAAUAUCUCCCAAGUAAGUUCUUUUCUUGCCUCAGACUGGUGAGGACUUUCACAAUUUAUCUCAGUACCAAAAAAUGGUUGUUCUGCCCAGAAUAGAUAAUAAUAAAGUACUGUUUCAGGCAGAACUGCCUUUUACAAAAUUAAGAAGGGAGAAAUCAACUCUAGGAAGGCAAAAGGAUGGCUGGAAUCCCAUUUCUGCCUGGGUAGAAACUUCUGAUCCGGGCUGGACUGGGUAUGUCUAUGCUGGACUGUACUGUCAACAACUUUAGCUGCUUGGCUUCAGCUGUAAAUCGAUACCAAAGUUCGAUUUUGGCAGAGCUUCAAUCUACUUCAAGCCUUGGGAGGCUCUUGAGCGGGCAGAACUGUGACUUCUUCAGUCUGAAGGGACAAAAGUGGCUAUUCUCGAGGAUUUAGCAAGCUGGAACCAUGCUGUAAAAUUUGUUGAGGUUUUCAUAGUUGUGAAAACUCAAACUAUGUUUGUCUUGGCUUUUGCUGAACCAAAUUUGUAACGAGGGAUCUCGUUCUAGGAAAUUUGUUUUCUAAGUCUGAACCUUGGAAUUCUGAUUUAAGGUUGGUUUCUCUUGGAAUUUAAGUGAGCUCUUGGCUGUUUUUCUUGCUGUUGUUUUUUUGGUUGAUGAGUUGAGUGUCCUUUCUUUCUUGCCUGCUUCUGUUUUUAUAAGAGACCCUCCUUUUGAAGGUGGUUUUAAAUUUUAAUAAUGGGCGGCAAAAGAUUUCUCAAAACGUAAAGUAGGAAAGAUUUUUAUCAAUUAUGGCAGAUAGACUCCCAGUGGUCACUUCCUAUAGCGAUCCCUUCCCUGGUUUCCUGGCUGACGGUUUUUCUAUUUUAAUGCCACCGUCUGUGUGAGCUGAUCCUAUGGCGGUUUUGAUUUUUCUUUUGUAUUUUCUGAACAACUCCCUGUUUCUUGCUCUUGAAAACGUGAUUUGCGAAAUCUUUUUAGAAGAUGGUGUGUUGCUUUGGAGCAAAAAGUCUCUGAUCAUAGACGCCCCUUUGAUUUUUCUUUCUCGGCUGUUUUCAGAAACGUCCCUUCUCACAUAAAAACUCUAGUUGGAAUUGCUGACUUUCCAGAGAGGUGAGGUAGCCACGUGAAUGUGUCUUUAGUCUCUUGGGCUUGAGUUUAAACAAUAUUUUGUGGGCUGAUCUUCAAAGGCCCAAUAUGACAGCUUUCUACGUUUUGGGUUUUUUGGGACUGGAUAAGUAUUUCACCACGGGCCUGUUUCUGGAUCUCUUUGGUGUGUCAAAUUUAGGCCCAAACAAUGCCCCCAUUAAGUCUGAACUUGUUUUUGGAACGGUUUUUCAGACUUAAUGGGUUUUGCCAUGAAUUUGCGCGCCAGUCCUUUCCGCUUCGUGCGUCUGUCACGUCCGCCCAUAAUGAUCUAGAGUUCGUGGGAGAAGAAAAACGGCUAUUUAUUUGGCUAGUUACUAGCCAAUAAUCACCAGCUGCCGUAUCUUCUUCUUCCUCUCACGUUUCGAGCCUUCCCUUUUAAAAAGAAAUUUCAGACCCACUGCCUCUUAGCCUUUCAAACUUGGAACUUCUCUUCGGGUUUUCAUCGUUUCCUUCGAACUUCCCCCUUUUCUCUCUGCUUCCUUCCUUGAAUCCGAAAUGUCUUCCCUAAGGUCCCAUGCUCAGUCUUCUUCAGCUUCAAUCCCUCCUGAUUACAUCACUGGGAGCGGGAUUGAUGCCCACGCAAUAGAGGUUAGGAGCAAGCUCCAUCCUUUUGCUCAGAAGAAUCUGGAUGAAAAUGUUCUUCAUUUGUUCUAGAAUACCCUGGUGCUGGGGUCUCACUGGUUUGGCCCUGUUCCGGCUGAGGCGGCAGAACUGCUGAAAAAGGACGCCGAGGCUCCUUUGUGCUUCGAGAGUACUUCCGCCCUGGCUUCUCAUUCUUGGGUUAGCAAGAAUUUGAGUCGAUCUUUCCCGUCCAGCGAGGUGAGGAACAGUCCAGUCAAAUGGGCAGACUGGAUUGACAGACUUCUCCCGAGAUAUGGGGGUCACUGGAGGAGAGCUGGGCUCUAUGACGCCAUUCUUCUGUCCAAGCAGUCGAUUAACAGAGAUGAGAACCUGCUUGCUGCUGCCUUGUGUUUUUGGAAUUCUGCCAGCAACACAUUUGAUUUCCGUGUGGGUCCCAUGGCUCCAACUCUGCUGGACAUGGCUCAGAUUUUUGGGUUUAGGCCCCAUGGCAGACCUGUUGAUGCUGUUGGGGAUUAUCACAGGCGAAAGAACCAAGAGAAAGUGGCCACUCCCUUCACUAUCCCUCCAGCCACGAUCAACCAGAACUGCUCCUUCUCCAACUAUCUGAAGAGAUUCAGCGCUGAGAAGGACAAGGAUCAGCAACAUAUGUUGUUCCUUCUGUAUUGGCUGAACCGAUUUGUCUUCCCCAAUCGGUCUUCGGCAGUUCUGCUUGAAUACAGACAUCUGGCAGAAGCACUUCACAAUCACACUGAUGUGGGGCUUGGACCAACAGUUCUGGCCCACCUUUUCAAGAAUCUGUAUACUGCCACUCUUGAGAAUCCAUUGAACCUGUCUGCUCCUGGCGCAUUCUGGAUGAUCCAGAUCUGGCUGCAGGUAUAUUUCCCCGAGUUAAGGUUUCCAGACAUAGUUCUGCCUGAAGACCAAGUUCUGGCCCUUCCCCUGAUAUCGGCAGAAGUGCCCAAGCGCUCUCUUGAGGAGUAUUUGAUGCUCUUCAGGCAUUGUACCAAGAGGUCGGCUGCUCAGUGGCAAGUGGUGAUCAGAAGGACCUAUCCUUGGUUCCAGACUGGAUCUCGGCUUUUCGAGAAAGAACCAGAAGACGAGGCUGCCAGAACAGAUUUCAGGAAGAAAUUUCUGAGCAUUACUUCGCCCAGAGAUCUGCCCCAUGGCGGGGGCAAACCUCCAAACUAUCAUCUGGGGGCAGAAGUCUAUCAUCCCAACUUUUGUGCAAGGCAGCUUGGCUGCCCUCAGCUCAUACCGUUGAAAUCAUAUCGGAGUUGCAAUCGGGCCUCUUCUUGGAGGGAUGUAGAUGAUCUGGAGGUGCACAAGGAUGCCCGGUGUGCAGUGAACAAGAUAAAUAAUAGCACGGAUGCCCUCUAUCCCUCAUGGGAGCCAAAUUCCUGCAGUUCUGCUGAUUUUGACGCCUGGUGGCAAACCAGAUUCCAAAAUCUACCAGCUUCUGUUACUGCCCUCAAGACGCUUUUUGACGGUUGGGAGAACUGGCAUCUUUUUGCGGAGGGGGAGGCCAAAGUGCAUAUGAUCCAGACCAUCAAGGACAUUAAUGCACAAAUCAUAGAAGGUAGAUACUUGAUUCUGUCUGGGACUUGUUCUGUCUUGAUAAUCUAUUUUUAACCUAUGUUCUGCCUGUUAUUAGAUCCUUCCCUGACAAAGAACGUGGGUGGACAGUCUGUCCAGGCUGGAGAAGUGAUUGGUAAGCCUUUCCUUUUUAAUUUUCUUCUGUCUUUUCCUGUUGGAUUGGCUUUUAACCUCUAACUGCUUGGUGCAGUCUCUUCUGUCAUUGCCGCCGGGGAUUUGGAGCUCCAUUCUGCUGAUGAAGAGGAUGAUGUUGAGGCAGAACAAACCCCUGCCGAGGCUGUUCCUUCUGGUAGAAGAAAAAGAAAAGGGCCUGCUCCCCCUCUGGAUAAUACCGCGCGGCCUGGCAUUCCUGGUAAGUUUGGAGCAUUCCAACUGUUCUCUUUGGAUUUAUUCUGUUUUCUCUUUUCUAAUCUUUUCCUUUUGUUCUGUCCAGCUGGGAGUCCUUCUCCUCCUCCUACUAAGUUAAAAAAGCUUAAGAAGAGGGGUGAAGUGGAAUACUUUGCCGCAGAAGAAGCCGCAGCAAUCCCAGCCACUACUUCUGGGACGGACGAUGAGCUGCGAGAAGCCUUUGAGGAGGUGGAGCAGGAAAAAGAGCUGCAAGAGCUGGAGGAGGUGCCCCAAGAGAAGGUGGCAGCGGUGGAAGACGAGGUGAGUUUUAGUCUGUGACUCGCAUUAGUUCCUCUUUUGCUUCAUUCCUUCUGUUCUGACCCCCUUCUUGUAGGAUGAAAUUCCUGCUGAGGUGAUAGCGGAGAGCAUUGCCUUGGCGCAGAAGCAACAAAAGGGUCCGAGUGCUGAGCUGACCAGCUCAGAACUGGCUCUUUUUGAGGAUGCUGAGGCAGAACACUCUACUGCCGCUCCAGAGGCCGAGGAUCAGGUGGAGCCAUCUGCAUCAGACCCCGUGGAUCAGGCAGAAUUAACCGUUGUGGUCCCGGAGGCUGAUGUGGGAACGACUGCAGCUGCUCCUGUGGUUGUGGUAAUUUUCCCCUUCAACUGUUCAUGUUUUCCUGCUGUUCUGUCUGUUCUGUCUUUUUAACAUUUGCAGUCUUUCCAGGUGGAAGUGCCUAAAGCUGCUGGUGCCCUGGCUGCGGUGUCCAGCCCUCUGAAGCCUCCCAUUGUCGCUGUAAGUUUUCAUAACUUUUGAGCCUCCUUUAUCUUCCACUUUCUGCCUGGUCUUAGCUUAUGUUCUCUUCUGCAGAUGCCUAUUCAUUCCUUUCCAGGAUCAUCUGCCACGGCUUCUUUUGCUGAUCCAGAACUUGAAGAGUUUGAAGCCAUGGAUCUGGAUGCCCAAUUGGACAGACUGGAGAAACUCAGCUCUCCUCCAGGCAAGGCAAAAUCUAGGGCGGUGGAGGAAGCCAUGGAGAGGUUGAAAAUCUGGCAGUCCACUGAGCUGGAAUUUGAUGAAGAUACAGGGGCUCUUGAUCAGCUGAUGAAGGACCUGGACCUGCUGCAUAGACAGAACAUGGCUCCGAGGCCUAUUCUUGAGAUGGGCCUAAGCCUGGCCAGAGAUGUGCUUAAUCUGCAUGAUCGCUAUGAAGAUCUUAGGCCUACGUUCAAAACUUCUGAGUUCUGCAAGGCCACACAUGAAGCUAAUCUGGCUGACUUUGCCAGGCAGAAAACAGAACUGGAUCAGAUGGUGGCUGGAUAUAAGGAGGCUAAGGCUACCGCGGAUAAGUUGGAGAAGCAGAUUGAAGAACUCCAAAAACAGCUGGCAGAGUGUAGGGAGGUGCAGAACAAACUUGGGGCUGGACUGAGUUCCAAAACUAAGGCCACCUUCCUUGUGCAAAGUAUGGUUGCAGCUUCUAGGCCAGCUUUGGAAAUUGCAGAGGCUUCAAUUCACCAGGGGGUGUUGCUCCAGAAAGAACUGUUUGUCAAGAAAGCGAACCUACAGGAGACUCUUAGAAAGCUAGGAUUUUAGCUUCUUCUUUCUUUUGUUCGAAUAAUUUGCCGCAAAGGUGGCUAUUUUUAUAUAAGCUUUCAAAGCAUUUUUACUGCUUUUUAUUCUUGAUGCAAUAACCGGACACGGUUUUGAAAGUACAGUAAAAACAGAACAACAUUAAAGUAAAAACAAAUCUAAACAAGAUUCCCUUUCAAGAAACAAAAAGGUCAAUCUUCUUCCUCUUCUAUCCCAGGAUCCGUUUGUACAGCCUGUGAAUCCCACAUGGUUGGAUAGAACUUCUUUAACCAUUUACCAUUGAUUGGGGCAAAGUGAACAACUCCAUCUCGGUCCUGCAACCUAUAUGCCCCCAUUCCGAGGAUUUGGUUAAUUAUAAAAGGGCCUUCCCAGGUAGGUGACCACUUCCCAUACCCAGCUAUGUGUGCUCCAAGGGGCAGAAUUGCCUUCCAGACUAUCUCUCCCUCUUCAAAACUCUUGUUUUUGACUCUUUUGUUGUAGGCUCUCGAUACAGCCUGUUUUCCUGCUAAGAGUUUGUUGAGGGUGUCAAUUCUGCUUGCAUCCAAUCCUUCCAAUUCCAGUAACAUGGCUUGAGAGUAAUCCUCCCCAGUGAGACCAUGCUGGUGAGCAAUUCUAAGAGACUGGACUGCUAUCUCCAUGGGAAGAAUUGCAUCGUGGCCGUAGGUUAGAGCAUAGGGGGUCAUGCCAGUCGCUUCUCUCUUCGAAGUUCUGUAUGCCCACAAAGUUUCUGACAACUUCUCGUGCCAUUGCUUUGGAUUUUUCUCUAGCAUCUUUCUAAUGAUAUUGAUAAUCACCUUGUUACUUGAUUCUGCCUGUCCAUUAGCUUGAGCAUAGUAAGGAGUAGAUUGAAGCAGUUUGAACUUGAAUGUUUCUGCCAUAUCUAGCAUGUCCCUAGAUAUGAAAGAAGAACCCCUAUCGGUUGUGAUUGAUUCUGGAAUGCCAAACCUUUGUAUGAUCUGUUCUUCUAUGAAGGUGAUGAUCUCUUGAGAUGUUGUGGUUUUUACUGGCUUGGCUUCUACCCACUUGGUGAAAUAAUCUGUGGCAACGAUGAUGAAACAGUGCUGCUGGUUGCUGGCUGGAUAGAUUUUGCCAAUGAGAUCCAUUGCCCAUCCCCUGAAAGGCCAUGGUUUUACUACUGGAUUCAUGGGAACCGAAGGAGCCUGCUGGAUUGGGCCGUGCCUUUGACAGGCUUCACAUCCUUUGGAAUAGUCGAUGCAAUCCUUCAUCAUGGUUGGCCAGAAGUAGCCAUAUCUUCUGAUUAACCAGCACAUCUUUCUUCCCCCUUGGUGAGCUCCACAGACCCCAUCAUGGGUUUCUCCCAUGACUUUCAUGUAUUCUGUCUUCCCGAGGCACCUUAAUAGUACCUCAUCCUUACUUUUUCGGACCAAAUCUUCAUUCCACAUGAGGUAGUUUGUAGCCAUGAUUCUGACUCUUUUCUCAGAGGGCAGAGUGGGAUAUCGUAAGUAAGUCAUGAUAGGCUCCCUCCAAUCAUCUCCAGUGAUCGAGGCAGAAUUGACUUCUAUCUCCAUUCCUCUCGUCAAAACAGAUGGUAGACUUUUCCUUCCUAUCUUGAUGAUCCUUUGGACGCAGUCUUCGGGCAUUUGUAUGCCUGAUGCCACCUGAGCCAGUUCAUUGGCUGCAAAGUUUUUCUCCCUUGGGAUGUGCUCCCAAGUAGCUUCUCUAAAUUCAGACACUUAUAUUCUCCAGCAAUCUGUUUUAGGACAAGCAUGGAAUCUCCCAAGAUUUCCACGGACUGGACUCCUAAUUCUACCAACAUUUCGAGCCCUAUAAUCAAAGCCUCAUAUUCGGCCCUGUUGUUGGUGCAUUGGAAAUCUAGCUGGAAAGAAUAGCAAUGCCUGACCCCUAAUGGUUCUUCCAGAACAAUCCCUGCUCCGGAAGCCUUGUCUGUCUUCGAUCCAUCAAAAUAUAAUUUCCAAGGUGUGAGAUGAAUCGAGUAAAUUGGAUUGUUAAGGCAAACAUGAGCUCUAGUUAACAGAUCUGCAUUUGCAAUGUCCAAAGAAUCCAUGUUUUCAAUUUCCUCUCCCGGGUGAUCUGCCAAAAAGUCUGCCACAGCUUGCCCUUUGACAGCUUUCUGGGGGACAUACCUCAGGGUGAAUUCUGUCAAAGCCAAAGUCCAUUUCCCAAUUCUGCCCCUCAGCAUUGGUCUUGUUAGCAUGUAUUUGAUUAAGUCGGUUUUGGCAAUGAUGUAGAUAGUAUGUGGCAGCAUGUAGUGCCUGAGCUUCACAGCAGUGAAAUAUAAGGCUAGGCAAAGCCUUUCUAUUGCGGAAUACCUUCUUUCCACUUCUGUCAACGUUCUGCUUAGAUAGUAGACCGCCUGUUCUUUUCCUUCUUUGUUAUCUUGAACUAGCAGACUUCCAAUGGAUACUUCUGAUGCAGAUACAUAAAGUUUGAAGGGUCUGCCCCUUUUUGGUGGGGACAGAACUGGUGGAUUUGAGAGGUAAUGCUUUAUUUCCUGGAAAGCCUGUUGGUGCUGUUCUUCCCAUUUGAAUGUCUGUUCCUGCUUCAGUCUCAACAGGGAGGAAAAGGGUUGGAUUUUUCCUGCAGAAUUGGAUAUGAAUCUCCUUAGGAAAUUGAUUUUUCCUAAGAGACUCUGAAGUUCCUUCUUGUUCCGAGGUGGUAGAGCUUCUAUGAUGGAUUUUGCUUUAUUUCUGUCAACCUCUAUACCUCUCUGGUGGACCAAGAAUCCUAAGAAAUUCCCUGCCUGGACUCCAAAAACACAUUUUUUGGGGUUCAUUUUUAGCUUGUGCUGCCUCAUUCUCAGGAAUGCCUUUCUCAGACUUGCUACGUGAUUUCCUUCCUCAGGGGAUUUAAUCACCACGUCAUCUAUGUAUACUUCCAAAGAAUGUCCUAUCAUAUCAUGAAAAAUAGAAUUCAUUGCCCUUUGGUAGGUAGCUCCCGCAUUUCUCAAACUGAAAGGCAUUACAGUAUACUCGAAAGCACCUAUAUGUCCUGGACACAUAAAGGCUGUCUUGUGGAUGUCCUGUUCUGCCAUCAUAAUCUGGUUAUAACCUGCAUUGCCGUCCAUGAAAGAUAGCAUCUGGUUAUGAGCGGCUCCAUCCACUAACAUGGCUGCCAUUGGCAUAGGAUAUUCGUCUUUAGGAGAUGCCUCAUUCAGAUUCCUGUAAUCUACGCAGAUUCUAACUGCCCCUGUUUUUCUUUUGAGAACAGGUACAAUAUUUGCUAACCAAUCGGCAUAGACGGCUGGCCUGAUGAAUCCUGCCUUGAGCAACCUUCCUAUCUCUUCUUUGACCUUUAGUUCUGUGUCCAUAGACAUUCUUCUUCUGGCCUGUUUGACUGGAAGGUAGCCAUCUUUAAUUGGCAGCUUGUGCUCCACUAACUGCCUGUCUAAUCCUGGCAUCUCGUGGUAAUGCCAGGCAAAACAAUCUCUGAACUCCUGCAAAAGUGCCGUGAGUUCAGCCUUGAGUGGUUCCUUUAACAGUGUACUGAUGAAAGUAGGCCUUGGAUCUUCUUCUGUCCCUAAGUUUAUCUCCUGUAGAGGGUCCUCUACUUCUGGCAGGGAGUCAUCUAGUGCUGCCGGUGCAAAUUCCAACACUUCCUCCUGUAAAACUUCUUCCUCUUGUUCUUUUAUGCUUUCAUGGGUGAAUUCUGCCAUAUUAAUGGCUGGAUUCUGUAUGAAAAGUCUCCUUUCUCCCCAGUAUAUCAACAAUCUUUUUGUGAUGGAUCGGAUUGUUGCAGCUCGAUCCUUGUCCAGUUGAUUGGGACUAAACAUCAGAAUUCUGGAAGUUCGGCACAAGAAAGUCUAUUCCAGUCCUCUAGAGAACUGGCUAGACCUUCUUCAAUGAGUCUUUGGGCCGUGACACCAUGGGGGCGGCCGUUCUGAUUGACUCCAAGGAAAGUGUAGGGACCGAGGUCAUCAUGAUAAUACCUUGCUUCAAAGCACAUGGCAGAGGGUAGGAAUGGCCGUGGAUCGGCCUCUAUAAUCUCCAUGCAGCCUUCUUCAUUCCAUAUUGCUAACUGCUGGUGGAGGGUGGAAGGGAUACAAAGGCUCUGGUGAAUCCAAUCCCUGCCGAGUAGUGCAUUGUAGGUGGUGGAGGUAGUGUCUAUAACAAAGAAUGCUAUUUUCAACUCUUUGCUUCCGACUACGACAUCUACAUCUAAGAUGCCGUGUAUUUUGGUGAUGCCCCCAGCGAAGUUGGUGACGGUUAAUCGUGUUGGAAUUAGAUCCCUCUCUGUCCUGCCCAACUUGGUCAGCAUUGUGUGGGGUAAUAGAUUAAUGGCUGCACCUCCAUCUACCAUGAUCUUGGAGAUAGGAAUACCUCCAAGAUUUGCCGUUAUAAACAACGGUCUGAGGUGAUUUUCCAUUUCUCUGGUUGGCUUGGCGAAACAAGCCUGCUCUGUAGCUGGUUUAUUGGCUGUUCUGCCUGUCCUAGGGUCGUCUGCUUGCGGUUCUGGCGGCUCCUCUGCUUCUGCCAACCUACACUCAAAGCUCUCCUGGGAGAAAACGUCCCCUUCCAGAGUGCUUUUUUGUCCUUCGGUAGCCCUGAAUUCACCUGGUAGGAUGAAUACCAUGUUAAUUCCCAGAUCACCCUGUAGGAGGUCUUCUAAUUCUGCGCCAAAAGCUUCUGUUUCUGGGUCCAAUUCCUCACCAAAUUCCAUUAAUUCUUCCCCAUAUUCUUCCGUCCAGUCAUCCUGUUCUGCUACUUCGAGGGGCUCUUUCUGAUCAUCUGCAGAAGGUUCAUAGUCUAAUUGCUCUUCUUCAUAUUCCUCAGCGUAGUCGUCUUCUUUUUGUAACGGGGUAGACCCGGAUUUCUCUAAUGUCCGCGUGGUGUCAGGAUGGCUGCCGGACGACGAGGCUAUAUGGAUAGGAGACCUGGCUGGCUGCUCUGUUUUCAGCAAUUCCCUUGACUGGCAGGCUUUCUGUUCCGUCUGGGGAAGUGUUUCAGGAUUCUUUCCUUUCCUGGCAGAACUGGGUUGUGAACGUACCUGCGUAUUGUCUUGGCUUUUAAGAUAUGUGCAGUAUUGCCUCUGGAUUCUUCUUUUCUGGGUUCUGGUCAGCUCCAGAGUCGGUCUACCGCUUCUUCCUACGGAAUACCACCUCCCUUCUAUGAUCGUUGCCAAGGGUCUUUCGUUUCCGGGCGUCUUGACUGAUAUUUCCUUCCUGGGUUGCUCCAUCCUCCUCUCGCCGUAGUGUGUAGGCCUAAGACAGCUCUUCUGCCUUGUCUUGUCUUGGGAUAUAGUUCCAAUUCUGUCAAAGACACUAGGUGUGGGCUGAUUUUGUUUGUCUAGGACCACCUCUAGCUCUGUUUCACACUUGCACCUACUGCAGAGCACCACCCCAGCCGAGAUGGUCGCUCUUGGUAUCUGACUGGUCUCCCUUAUGAUUCUUCUGCCUCUGCUGCAACCAGCAUCUGUGAUAGGGUCGGUUUUCCUCUGUUCUGGCCAAUUUAAGUUGACCAUAUUGACUUGCGGUUGAGGAAAAGGAUCCGUCGUGACGGAUGGUGGUUUUUCUGCCAACUUCAACCUUCCUGCCGUUAUUCCUUCUUGUACUACGUCCCUGAAAACGACACAACUAUUGGUAGAAUGGUUCCAAGAGUUGUGCCACCUGCAGUACUGUCUGCCUUUGAGUUCUUCCGGCUUCGGUAUUCUGUGAGGCGUCUCUAUUACCUUCUGCAGUAGCAUUUCGUCGAACAAGGCAUUGACCUUGGUUAAGUCAAAAGAGUAAACCUUGUUUUGUGUUGGUUUGUUUGGAACGAAUCCUCCUGUGAAUGGUGGUGGCUUUUGGUCUUUGGGUGGCUUUGUGAGGGCUUUGCAACUGAUGGGAUGUUUCAGUUUUGCCAUUUCUGCCACUGAAACCUCUUUCUCCUCUGAUUCCUCUGUAUCUUCUUGCGACUCCACCUCGAUCAGGUGGACUGAAGAAGAAGGGGUUUUGUAGUAUGUACCUUUGGAGGAGUUCCUCCUUUGCUGCUCUUCCCUGAGUAGCUCUUCAUAUUUGGAUGCCUUAUCAGCCAGUUCUGCCAGAUCUCCGAACAAUAUCCCGUCGAACCUUUUCCUGAGGGAGAUUUUAAGGGCGGCUUGGGCCAUCUGGAUGAAGUGUCUUUCUUCCAUUGGGAUUCGGCACUUCAUCUUGAGCCUUCUGAACCUGGUUAUAAAAUCUUGCGCCGGUUCAUCUUCACUCUGCUUGAGGGCAGCUAGAUCACUGAUGGUGACUUCUGGCUGAAUCCUGUAAUAGUAGUCAUGGAAGACAUUUUCCAUCUGUUCCCAGGUUUGAACAGAGUUAGCUGGCAGGCUGGUGUACCAGGUAAAAGCUUGCCCAGAGAGAGAGUUGCCAAAAAGCCUUAAUUUCAGCAGAGGGUUGUUUUCUAUAGCUAUGCAUUGGACGGAGAACCUGCCUAUAUGUUCGACUGAGGAAGCAUGGGGGUCUUCCCCGUUGAACAAAGUGAAGUUUGGCACUUUGAAACCUGGAGACAACGGUAUUUGAUCGAUGUAGGCUGGGUAUGGCUUUCUGUAAGUAGGCCUUUCCCCUCUUCUAGCCUCGGGUUCCAUGAUCUCUCUGACCAUUCUUCGCAAUGCCCCUACGUCAUUUAAAGCAUUGACUGGGGGAAAAUUUUGUCCCUGUUCUGGCUGAACGUAAUCAAACCUGGGUUCUGCCCUGAGUGGUCUGGGUGGAACUUCCUCCCUGUGUUCUUCCUGCUCUUCGACUUCUGGAUGAUUCCUCCAGUUUGCCCCCUGUCUAUUCCUGUCAUGAUUAGCAAAAAGGUUGUUUCCCCCUCGGGCUCUCCUCCCUCUUGCAGGUGGAGGGAAUGGAUUAGGGUCCAUCCUUCUGGGUCUAUAUGGCAAUACUGCCGGUGGUUCAGGCAGAAGCGCCAAAGGUUGAUCAUGCGGGGCUGCAUGAUGUGAAUUGGGCUGAGGUCCUAGCUGGUUCUGAGCCAGUGUCAGGUUAUCUGGCUGGGCUGGGGCCUGAUGUUCUUGAUUAGGAAGGGCUCUCUCCCUCGGAUCAGCCUGAACUUCUGUGUGGCCUGGCACUCCAGCCAUCUGUGCAACUAGAGGAUUUUCCUGAUAUGGCCAUAUUAGUCCUGGCGGAGGGCCAUAAGGAAGAUCCAACUGCUGGAUUACAGGAUCUGGGUUUGGAUUUCUGGCCAUGGCGGAUUCUCGGUCCUUCCGGAACUGUCUGUUUACCUGCCAUUGCAUCAUGGCUGUCAUGUUAUCGAGAGUGUCCUGGCUCCUUUGUACUGUGAUCUCUUGUCGGAGUACUGACUCCUUUAUUUGACUCAUCCUUUUGGAGCCAGUCCUGGAACGUCUGCUUCCUGUACUGUCGUGGGCAGACUGCCUAGCGUCGCUUUCUUCCGAUUCGAGGCCUUCUCUGAGAACCAUCUUGUUUUUCUCCAUGUCUGGUGUGGGUUCUGACUAGAUCUUCCGGCUUUUGUAAAUCUGUGAAUGACUCUGUCAGAGUAUGUAUACUGAGAAGUCCCACUGGGCGUGCCAAAUUGUUCACCCGUUUUCGUGUUUAACUCCUGAUGUGGAAGGGCGAAGUUCCCCACUGGCUUGGAGACCACUUGUUGGUCGACAAGUCAGCUUUCUUUGGUGUGCGAGCGUGCCACUGCUAGCAAUGUAAAUUCUAGCAGACUUAUUUUUAGAGUGGAUAACUUGCGCCUCAAGUUACUGACUUCUAAAACAAACGAUUGUGAAUUUGGGUAAGGAAUAUCUCCCAAGUAAGUUCUUUUCUUGCCUCAGACUGGUGAGGACUUUCACAAUUUAUCUCAGUACCAAAAAAUGGUUGUUCUGCCCAGAAUAGAUAAUAAUAAAGUACUGUUUCAGGCAGAACUGCCUUUUACAAAAUUAAGAAGGGAGAAAUCAACUCUAGGAAGGCAAAAGGAUGGCUGGAAUCCCAUUUCUGCCUGGGUAGAAACUUCUGAUCCGGGCUGGACUGGGUAUGUCUAUGCUGGACUGUACUGUCAACAACUUUAGCUGCUUGGCUUCAGCUGUAAAUCGAUACCAAAGUUCGAUUUUGGCAGAGCUUCAAUCUACUUCAAGCCUUGGGAGGCUCUUGAGCGGGCAGAACUGUGACUUCUUCAGUCUGAAGGGACAAAAGUGGCUAUUCUCGAGGAUUUAGCAAGCUGGAACCAUGCUGUAAAAUUUGUUGAGGUUUUCAUAGUUGUGAAAACUCAAACUAUGUUUGUCUUGGCUUUUGCUGAACCAAAUUUGUAACGAGGGAUCUCGUUCUAGGAAAUUUGUUUUCUAAGUCUGAACCUUGGAAUUCUGAUUUAAGGUUGGUUUCUCUUGGAAUUUAAGUGAGCUCUUGGCUGUUUUUCUUGCUGUUGUUUUUUUGGUUGAUGAGUUGAGUGUCCUUUCUUUCUUGCCUGCUUCUGUUUUUAUAAGAGACCCUCCUUUUGAAGGUGGUUUUAAAUUUUAAUAAUGGGCGGCAAAAGAUUUCUCAAAACGUAAAGCAGGAAAUAUUUUUAUCAAUUAUGGCAGAUAGACUCCCAUUGGUCACUUCCUAUAGCGAUCCCUUCCCUGGUUUCCUGGCUGACGGUUUUUCUAUUUUAAUGCCACCGUCUGUGUGAGCUGAUCCUAUGGCGGUUUUGAUUUUUCUUUUGUAUUUUCUGAACAACUCCCUGUUUCUUGCUCUUGAAAACGUGAUUUGCGAAAUCUUUUUAGAAGAUGGUGUGUUGCUUUGGAGCAAAAAGUCUCUGAUCAUAGACGCCCCUUUGAUUUUUCUUUCUCGGCAGUGUUUUCAGAAACGUCCCUUCUCACAUAAAAACUCUAGUUGGAAUUGCUGACUUUCCAGAGAGGUGAGGUAGCCACGUGAAUGUGUCUUUAGUCUCUUGGGCUUGAGUUUAAACAAUAUUUUGUGGGCUGAUCUUCAAAGGCCCAAUAUGACAGCUUUCUACGUUUUGGGUUUUUUGGGACUGGAUAAGUAUUUCACCACGGGCCUGUUUCUGGAUCUCUUUGGUGUGUCAAAUUUAGGCCCAAACACAACCUAUAUGCCCCCAUUCCGAGGAUCUGGUUAAUCACAAAAGGACCUUCCCACGUAGGUGACCAUUUUCCAUAUCCAGCUAUGUGCGCUCCAGCGGCAAAAUUGCCUUCCAGACUAUUUCUCCUUCUUCAAAACUCUUAUCUCUGACUCUUUUGUUGUAUGCCUUUGACACAGCCUGUUUUCCUGCUAAGAGUUUGUUGAGGGUGUCAAUCCUGCUUGCAUCCAAUUCUUCUAAUUCAAGUAGCAUGGCUUGAGAGUAAUCUUCUCCUGUGAGAUCGUGCUGGUGAGCAAUUCUAAGAGACUGGACUGCUAUCUCCAUGGGCAGAAUUGCAUCAUGACCGUAGGUCAGAGCAUAGGGAGUCAUGCCAGUUGCUUCCCUUUUUGAAGUUCUGUAUGCCCACAAAGUUUCUGACAACUUCUCAUGCCACUGCUUCGGAUUCUUCUCCAGCAUCUUUCUGAUGAUAUUGAUAAUCACCUUGUUACUUGAUUCUGCCUGUCCAUUAGCUUGAGCAUAAUAGGGGGUAGAUUGAAGCAGUUUGAACUUGAAUGUUUCUGCCAUAUCUAGCAUAUCCCUAGACAUGAAAGAAGAACCCCUAUCAGUUGUGAUCGAUUCUGGAAUGCCGAAUCUCUGUAUGAUCUGCUCUUCUAUAAAGGUGAUGAUCUCUUGAGAAGUUGUGGUUUUGAUUGGCUUGGCUUCUACCCAUUUGGUGAAAUAGUCUGUAGCAACAAUGAUAAAACAAUGCUGCUGGCUGCUGGCUGGAUAGAUUUUGCCAAUGAGAUCCAUUGCCCAUCCCCUAAAAGGCCAUGGUUUCACCACUGGAUUCAUGGGAACUGAAGGAGCCCGCUGGAUUGGGCCGUGUCUUUGACAAGCUUCACAUCCCUUGGAAUAGUUGAUGCAAUCCUUCAACAUGGUUGGCCAGAAGUAGCCAUACCUUCUAAUUAACCAGCACAUCUUUCUUCCUCCUUGGUGAGCCCCACAGACCCCUUCAUGGGUUUCUCCCAUGACUUUCAUAUAUUCUGUCUUUCCGAGGCACCUUAAUAGCACCUCAUCCUCACUUUUUCGGACCAAAUCUUCAUUCCACAUGAGAUAGUUUGUAGCCAUGAUUCUGACUCUUUUCUCAGAGGGUAGAGUGGGAUACUGCAAGUAAGUCAUGAUCGGCUCCCUCCAAUCGUCUUUAGUGAUCAAGGCAGAAUUGACUUCUAUCUCCAUUCCUCUAGUCAGAACUGACGGUAGACUUUUCCUUCCUAUCUUGAUGAUCCUCUGGACGCAGUCUUCAAGCAUUUGUAUGCCUGAUGCUACCUGAGCCAGUUCAUUGGCUGCGAAGUUUUCUUCCCUUGGGAUGUGUUCCCAAGUAGCUUCUCUAAAUUCUGUUAGCAGAUUUCUAGCUGCUACCAGAUAUACAGCCAGAGAAGGAUUUAGACACUUGUAUUCUCCAGCAAUCUGUUUUAGGACAAGCAUGGAAUCUCCCAAGAUUUCCACGGAUUGAAUUCCCAAUUCUACCAACAUCUCGAGCCCUAUAAUCAAAGCUUCAUACUCGGCCCUGUUGUUGGUGCAUUGGAAAUCUAACUGGAAGGAAUAGCAAUGUCUGACCCCUAAGGGUUCUUCUAGCACAAUCCCUGCUCCUGAAGCCUUGUCUGUCUUUGUUCCAUCAAAAUAUAAUUUCCACGGUAUGAGAUGAAUCGAGUAGACUGGAUGGUUAAGGCAAACGUGAGCUCUAGUUAGCAGAUCUGCAUUUGCUAUGUCCAAAGAAUCCAUGUUUUCAAUUUCCUCUCCCGGGUGUUCUGCCAAGAAAUCUGCCACAGCUUGUCCUUUGACAGCUUUCUGGGGAACAUACCUGAGGGUGAAUUCUGUCAAAGCCAAAGUCCAUUUCCCAAUUCUGCCCCUCAGCAUUGGUUUUGUUAGCAUGUAUUUGAUUAGGUCUGUUUUGGCAAUGAUGUAAAUAGUAUGUGGCAGCAUGUAGUGCCUGAGCUUUACAGCAGUGAAAUAUAAGGCCAGGCAAAGCCUUUCUAUCGCGGAAUACCUUCUUUCCACUUCUGUCAAUGUUCUGCUUAGAUAGUAGACUGCCUGUUCUUUCCCUUCUUUGUUAUCUUGAGCUAGCAGACUUCCAAUGGAUACCUCUGAUGCAGAUACAUAAAGCUUGAGGGGUCUGCCCCUUUUUGGUGGGGACAGAACUGGCGGAUUUGAGAGGUAAUGCUUUAUUUCCUGGAAAGCCUGUUGGUGCUGUUCUUCCCAUUUGAAUGUCUAUUCCUGCUUCAGUCUUAACAGGGAAGAAAAGGGUUGGAUUUUUCCUGCAGAAUUGGAUAUGAAUCUCCUUAGAAAAUUGAUUUUUCCUAAGAGACUUUGAAGUUCUUUCUUGUUCCGAGGUGGUAGAGCUUCUAUGAUGGAUUUUGCUUUAUUUCUGUCAACCUCUAUACCUCUCUGGUGGACCAAGAAUCCUAAGAAAUUUCCUGCUUGGACUCCAAAAACGCAUUUUUUGGGGUUCAUUUUUAGUUUGUGCUGCCUCAUUCUUAGGAACGCCUUUCUUAAGCCUGCCACGUGAUUUCCUUCUUCAGGGGAUUUAAUCACCACGUCAUCUAUGUAUACUUCCAAGGAAUGUCCUAUCAUAUCAUGAAAAAUAGAAUUCAUUGCCCUUUGGUAGGUGGCUCCCGCAUUUCUCAAACCGAAAGGCAUUACAGUAUAUUGGAAAGCACCUAUAUGUCCUGGACACAUAAAGGCUGUCUUGUGGAUGUCCUGUUCUGCCAUCAUAAUCUGGUUAUAACCUGCAUUGCCGUCCAUGAAAGAUAGCAUCUGGUUGUGAGCGGCUCCAUCCACUAGCAUGUCUGCCAUUGGCAUAGGGUAUUCGUCCUUGGGAGAUGCUUCAUUCAGAUUUCUGUAAUCCACACAAAUUCUAACUGCCCCUGUUUUUCUUUUGAGAACAGGUACAAUAUUUUUUAACCAAUCUGCAUAGAUGGCUGGCCUGAUGAAUCCUGCUUUGAGCAGCCUUUCUAUCUCUUCUUUGACCUUCAGUUCUGUGUCCAUAGACAUUCUUCUUCUGGCCUGUUUAACUGGAAGGUAGCCAUCUUUGAUUGGCAGUUUGUGCUCUACUAACUGCCUGUCCAGCCCUGGCAUCUCGUGGUAAUGCCAAGCAAAACAGUCUCUGAACUCCUGCAAAAGUGUCAUGAGUUCAGACUUGAGUGGUUCCUUCAAAAGUGUGCUGAUGAAAGUAGGCCUUGGAUCUUCUUCUGUCCCUAAGUUUACUUCUUGCAGAGGGUCCUCCACUUCUGGCGGGGAGUCGUCUAGUGCUGCUGGUGCAAAAUCUAAUACUUCUUCCUGUAAAAUUUCCUCCUCUUGUUCUUUUGUGCUUUCAUGGGUGAAUUCUGCCAUAUUGAUGGCUGGAUUCUGCAUGAAAAGCCCCCUUGCUCCCCAGUAUAUCAACAAUCUUUUUGUGAUGGAUCGGAUUGUUGCAGCUCGAUCCUUGUCUAGUUGAUUGGGACUAAACAUCAAAAUUCUGGAAGUUCAGCGCAGAAAGGUCUAUUCCAAUCCUCUAGAGAACUGGCUAAACCUUCUUCAAUGAGUCUUUGGGCCGUAACACCAUGUGGGCGGCCGUUCUGAUUGACUCCAAGAAAAGUGAAAGGACCGAGGUCAUCAUGAUAAUACCUUGCUUCAAAGCACAUGGCAGAGGGUAGGAAUGGCCGUGGAUCAGCCUCUAUAAUCUCCAUGCAGCCUUCUUCAUUCCAUAGUGCUAACUGUUGGUGGAGGGUGGAAGGAACACAAAGGCUCUGGUGGAUCCAAUCCCUACCAAGCAGUGCAUUGUAGGUGGUGGAAGUAGUGUCUAUAACAAAGAAUGCUAUUUUCAAUUCUUUACUUCCGACUAUGACAUCCACGUCCAAGAUGCCAUAUAUUUUGGUGAUGCCCCCAGCGAAGUUGGUGACGGUCAAUCGUGUUGGAAUCAGAUCUUUCUCUGUCCUGCCCAAUUUGGUCAGCAUUCUGUGGGGUAAUAGAUUAAUGGCUGCUCCUCCAUCUACCAUGAUCUUGGAAAUAGGAAUACCCCCAAGAUUUGCCGUUAUAAACAAAGGUCUGAGGUGAUUUGCCAUUUCUCUGGUUGGCUUGGCGAACCAAGGUUGCUCUGUAGCUGGUUUAUCGGCUGUUCUGCCUGUCCUGGAGAUGUCUGCUUGUGGUUCUGGUGGCUCCUCUGCUUCUGCCAAUCUACAUUCAAAGCUUUCCUGAGAGAAAACAUCUCCUUCCAGAGUGCUUUCUUGUCCUUCGGUAGCCCUGAAUUUACCUGGUAGGAUAAAUACCAUGUUAAUUCCCAGAUCACCCUGUAGGAGGUCUUCUAAUUCUGCGCCAAAAGCUUCUGUCUCUGGGUCCAAUUCUUCACCAAAUUCCAUUAAUUCUUCCCCGUAUUCUUCCGUCCAGUCAUCCUGUUCUGCUACCUCGGGGGGCUCUUUCUGGUCAUCUGCAGAAGGUUCAUAGUCCAAUUGCUCUUCUUCCUCUAUGUAGUCGUCUUCUCCUUGUAACGGGGUAGACCCGGAUAUCUCUGGUAUCUGCUCGGUGUCAGGACAGCUACUGGACGAUGAGGCUAUAUGGGCAAGAGAUCUGGCUGGUGGUUCUGUUUUCAGCAAUUCCCCUGACUGGCAAGCUUUCUGUUCUGUCUGGGGAAGUGAUUCAGGAUUUUUUCCUUUCCUGGCAGAACUGGGUUGUGAACGUACCUGCGUAUUAUCCUGGCUCUUAAGAUAUGUGCAGUAUUGCCUCUGGAUUCUUCUUUUCUGAGUUCUGGUCAGCUCCAGAGUUGGCCUACCAUUUCUUCCUACGGAAUACCAUCUCCCUUCUAUGAUCGUCGCCAAGGGUUUUUCGUUUCCGGGUGUCUUGACUGGUAUUUCCUUUCUGGGUUGCUCCAUCCUCCUCUCGCUGUACUGUGUAGGCUUAAGACAACUCUUCUGCCUUGUUUUGUCUUGGGAUGAGGUUCCAAUCCUGUCAAAGACACUAGGUGUGGGCUGAUUUUGUCUGUCUAGAACCACCUCUAGCUCUGUUUCACAUUUGCACCUACUGCAAAGCACUAUCCCAGCUGAGAUGGUCGCUCUUGGUAUUUGACUGGUCUCUCUUAUGAUUCUUCUGCCUCUGCUGCAGCCAGCAUCUGUGAUUGGCUGGGUUUUCCUCUGUUCUAGCCAAUUUAAGUUGACCAUAUUGACUUGAGGUUGAGGAAAAGGAUCCGUUAUGACCGAUGGUGGUUUUUCUGCCAGUUUAAGCCUUCCUGCCGUUAUCCCUUCUUGUAUCACGUCCCUGAAAACAACACAACUAUUGGUAGAAUGAUUCCAAGAGUUGUGCCACCUGCAGUACUGUCUGCCCUUGAGUUCUUCCGGUUUUGGUAUUCUGUGAGGCGUCUCUAUUGCCUUCUGCAGUAGCAUUUCGUCGAACAGGGCAUCGACCUUGGUUAAGUCAAAAGAGUAAACCUUGUUUUGUGUUGGUUUAUUUGGAACGAAUCCUCCUAUGAAUGGUGGCGGCUUUUGGUCUUUAGGUGGCUUUGUGAGGGCUUUGCAACUAAUGGGAUGUUUUAGUUUUUCCAUUUCUGCCACUGAAACCUCUUUCUCCUCUGAUUCUUCCGCAUCUUCUUGUGAUUCCACCUCGAUCAGGUGGACUGAAGAAGAAGGGGUUUUAUAGUAUGUACCUUUGGAGGAGUUCCUCCUUUGCUGUUCUUCCCUGAGUAACUUCUCAUAUUUGGAUGCCUUAUCGGCCAGUUCUGUCAGAUCUCCGAACAAUAUCCCGUCGAACCGUUUCCUGAGAGAGAUUUUAAGGGCGGCCUGGGCCAUCUGGAUGAAGUGUCUUUCUUCCAUAGGGAUUCGGCACUUCAUCUUGAGCUUUCUGAACCUGGUUAUGAAAUCUUGUGCCGGUUCAUCUUCACUCUGCUUGAGGGCGGCUAGAUCACUGAUGGUGACUUCCGGCUGAAUCCUGUAGUAGUAGUCGUGAAAGACAUUUUCCAUCUGUUCCCAGGUUUGAACAGAGUUAGCUGGCAGGCUGGUGUACCAGGUAAAAGCUUGUCCAGAGAGAGAGUUGCCGAAAAGCCUUAAUUUCAGCAGAGGGUUAUUCUCUAUAGCUAUGCAUUGGACGGAGAACCUGCCUAUAUGUUCAACUGAAGAAGCAUGGGGGUCUUCCCCAUUGAACAAAGUGAAAUUUGGCACUUUGAAACCUGGAGACAGCGGUAUUUGAUCAAUAUAGGCUGGGUAUGGCUUCCUGUAAGUAGGCCUUUCUCCUCUCCUAGCCUCGGGUUCCAUGAUCUCUCUGAUCAUUCUUUGUAAUGCCCCUAUGUUAUUCAAAGCAUUGACUGGGGGAAGAUUUUGUCCCUGUUCUGGCUGAACGUAAUCAAAUCUGGGCUCUGCUCUGUGUGGUCUGGGUGGAAGUCCUUCCCUGUGUUCUUCCUGCUCUUCGACUUCUGGAUGAUUCCUCCAAUUUGCCCCUGGUCUAUUCCUGUCAUGAUUAGCAAAGAGGUUGUUCCCUCCUCGGCCUCUCCUCCCUCUUGCAAGUGGAGGGAAUGGAUUAGGGUCCAUCCUUCUGGGUCUAUAUGGCAAUACUGCCGGUGGCUCAGGCAGAAGUGCCAAAGGUUGAUCAAGCGGGGCCACAUGAUAUGGAAUGGGUUGAGGUUCUGGCUGGUUCUGAGCCAGUGCCGGGUUGUCUGGUUGGGCUGGGGCCUCAUACUCUUGAUUAGGAAAGGCUCUUUCCCUCGGACCAGCCUGAAUUUCUCUGUGGUCUGGCACUCCAGCCAUCUGUGCAACUAGGGGAUUUUCCUGGUAUGGCCAUAUUAGUCCUGGCGGAGGGCCAUAAGGGAGAUCCAACUGCUGGAUUACAGGAUCUGGGUUUGGGUUUCUGGCCAUGGCGGAUUCUCGGUCCUUCCGGAAUUGUCUGUUCACCUACCAUUGCAUCAUGGCUGUCAUGUUAUUGAGAGUAUCCUGGCUCCUUUGUACUGUGAUCUCUUGUCGGAGUACUGACUCCUGCACUUGAUCCAUCCUUUUGGAGCCAAUCCUGGAACGUCUACUUCCUGUACUGCCGUGGGCAGAAUGCCUAGCAUCGCUUUCUUCUGACUCGAGGCCCUCCCUGAGGACCAUCUUGUUUUUCUCCAUAUCUGGUGUGGGUUCUGACUAGAUCUUCCGAUAUUUGUAAAUCUGUGAAUGAUUCCGUCAGAAUAUGUAUACUGAGAAGUCCCACCGGGCGUGCCAAAUUGUUCACCCGUGUUCGUGUUUAACUCCUGAUGUGGAAGGGCGAAGUUCCCCACUGGCUUGAAGACCACUUGCUGGUCGACAAGUCAGCUUUCUUUGGUGUGUGAGCGUGCCACUGCUAGCAAUGUAGAUUCUAGCAGACUUAUUUUGAAAGUGGAUAACUUGCGCCUCAAGUUACUGGCUUCUAAAACAAAACGAUUGUGAAUUUGGGUGAGGAAUAUCUCCCAAGUAAGUUCUUUUCUUGCCUCAGACUGGUGAGGACUUUCAUAAUUUAUCUCAGUAUCAAAUGGUUGUUCUGGCCAGAAUGGAUAAUAAUAAAGUACUAUUUUCAGGCAGAACUCCCUUUUACAAAAUUAAGCAGGGAGAAACCGACUCUAGAAAGGCAAAAAGAUGGCUGAAACUCCAUUUCUGCCUGGGUGGAAACUUCUAAUCCGGGCUGGACUGGGCAUGUCUACGCUGGACUGUACUGUCGACAACUUUAGCUGCUUGGCUUCAGCUGUAAAUCGAUACCAAAGUUCAAUUUUGGCAGAGCUUCAAUCUACUUCAAGCCUUGGGAGACUUUUGAGCGGGCAGAACUGCGACUUCUUCAGUUUGAAGGGACAGAAGUGGCUAUUCGUAUUCAGCAAGCUGGAACUAUGCUAUAAAAUUUGUUGAGGUUUUCAUAUUUGUGAAAACUCAAACUGUGUUUGUCUUGGCUGUUGCUAAACCAAACUUGUAACGAGAGGGAUCUCACUUUCAGAGGACUUAUUUUCUAAGUCUGAACUUCGGAAUUCUGAUCUAAAGCUGGUUUUCUUUGGAUCCAAGUGAGCUUUUUCUUGUUUGUUUUUUUUGAUUGAUUGAUGCAUUGAGUGUCCUUUGUUCCUUUGCCUACUUUCGUUUUUAUAAGAGACCCUCCUGGGGAGGUGAUUUUUAAUCCUAAAUAAUGGGCGGCAAAAAGAUCUCUUAUAAUAUAAAGUAAGAAGGAUUUCUUAUCAAUCAAGACAGAUAGGUUCUGAGCAGUCACCUCCUAAAGCAGUCCCUUCCCUGGUUUCCUGGGUGGCAGUUUCUAAUUCAAACCACCGCCACCAUCUGUGUAGGCUUUUUAUGGCGGUUUGGCUUUUUCUUUUAUAUUUUCUGAAUGGUUCCCUAUUUCCCGUUCUAAUUUAGAAAGCGUGAUCCGUGAAUCCCUGGGGGGGUGGUGCAUCGAUUUGGAGCAAAAUCUUGAACAUAGAUGGGUUUUUUGAUCUUCAAUUGGCAGUGUUUCAGAGACGUCCCUUUCAUAUUUUUAAAUUUCAGUCGAUAUUGCUGACUUUUCUAAAGCUGAGGCAAUCACGUGGGUGUGUUUUUGAUCCCUUGGGUCUGAACCUAAUCAAUAAUUCAUGGGCUGAUCUUUUGAAUCCCAUCUUGUCAGUUUCCUCUUUGGGCCUUUCUUUGGGCUGAAGCUUUGUUUUCAACAUUCUUGGUGUGAAGCCCAAUCUGUCUGGAUCCUAUUUUGUUUUUCUCAAGUUUUCGGGCUGGGCAGGCAAUUUCAUCAUGGGCUUGUCUCUUGAUUUUGGGUGUGCCGAAUUUUGGGCCCAAACAACUAUAUUAUGCAUGAUAUUAUUAUUUGAUUAUUAUUGAUAUUGGGUGUUUAAGUGUUGUUAAUUAUCAUCAUAUUAUUUUAUUCAUAUUGACAUGAUCAUAUGUUAUCGGUGAUGGCUGGAAUUCUUGGGUUGAUAAAGAAAGUAAGAAAAAGGGGGUAAUGGGAAGGAUCUUUUGUGUAGUUGAGUCUAACUCUUGGCAGGUACCAGGUCUCAAGGAUCCCGCAGUGCACAUGGUUUUCAUUGGGUGAUUCGGGACUAGCGACAGAGAGUUAGACAAGAUGACUAACGAAAUGGGAAUUAUGAGAAGAUUGAAAUGGGUGUUUGUUCAUAUAAAUGGGCAUUUGGGGCCAAGUGGUAUAAGCAUGGUAUGGGACGUGCAGGUCUGCUUGUGCAGUCAUAUGAAUUAACAGGAGUAGAUGAAGAGCAUUCAUUCAUGCAUUAUUAUUAAUAAUGUGAUAUUUAGCUGUGUGAUUACAUGUCACUUAAUUUAGUUAAAUCAAUCUACUGUGGUGAGGUCUCAUGUCCCUACUGAGUGGUGGUUUCUCAUCCCUCACCCUGUUUAAUUUUUCAGAUGAAUUAGUGGGCAUGACAAGGACUAAAUCAGUUGAGGCUGAACUAGAUGAGAGUGAUAGAGCUUUAUUUUUUUUAAUUGUAAAGUUUUAAGAUUUUGGGAGCUAUUUUUAUAAGAAAAGUUUAUUUUAUGUUUCGGCUUCUUUUUAUUCUAUUUUACCUUUUAUUUUCUCAUGCACUGGGCACGGGGUUUCCACUGACCCACGGGUCCGGGGCGUGACAAGGGUUAAUCGUUUUAUUCGUUCUUGGACUUAGACCCGGUUUGCAUUUGAGUACCUCAAUUUCCAAAAUCGUUCUCAUAUUCCUUUAACUUCACUUUUGUUAGGACAAAUGGUCCAGCCAUUAAUUUUGUUAACUUUUUCUGUUAAAUGCAGGGGCAAAAUGGUAUUUUUAUAUUAAAACCAAAAGAAUAAAUAAAUAAUCACAUCUUUAAAAUAACAAUAAAAUCAAAUCAAAUAAAAAACCAACCAAAAAAAAAUCGAGUUUGGGAAGAGUAGAAAUCGGGAUAGAGGGGGAGAGAGAGAGUUUAAUUUUAAUUUUUUAUUCAUAUUUUAAUCAAUUUAAUACAAAAUGAGGAGAACUACCCCCCCUCUUCUUCUCUUUUUAUUCACUACAUGCCAUGUAAAGAGAAGAACUAAAUGAGGUUAGGUUAUUAAAAUUGGGUGAGCUAGGAUUCUAUUUUUUUUGGCUGGAAAAAAGAAGCCACCUGGGUUGCCAAACUAAAGGUACAUCCGUGGGUAAGCUAGGAUUUUAUUUUUUUUUGGCUUGAAAAAAGAAGCCACCUGGGCUAUAGCCCAGGUUUGCCAAACUAAAGGAAGGUCUGUGGGUGGGCUAGGAUUUUAUUUUUUUGGCUGGAAAAAAGAAGUAGGUUUGCCAAACUAAAGAUCCGUCUCUGUUUCCACUUCAACCCAUUUACAAUCAAACUAUUUUAUGACUAAAACACUUCACAUUAAUGAUAAUUUUAUUAAACUAAAACACAGUUUUAUGAGUCUACUUAUGGAGAAAAACUUAGUUGCAAUGAGAUAACACUAUUUUGCUAUCCUUAUUUCAUAAAAGUCUUUCUCCUACUUAUGACUAUGGUUGCAGCCUGCAAUAUUCUUAAAAUAAUAAAAAAAUAAAAAAAAUAAAAAAAGUAGCUAUUCUGAAGGACAUUACCUCACUUUUGCUGUAUAAAUACUCUGCAUUUGCAAGCACUGCAAUGCACACACAAAAGCUAAGAUGGAUUCCAGAGAAGUAGCAACUAAGCCACACGCUGUUUGCAUUCCAUUCCCUUAUCAAAGCCAUAUAAAGGCAAUGCUUAAAUUUGCAAAGCUCCUCCACCACAGAGGUUUUCAUAUAACCUUUGUUAACACAGAGUUCAAUCACAAGCGCUUUCUUAAAUCUCAAGGACCCAAUUCCCUUGUUGGCUUGCCUGAUUUUCAAUUCGAUGCCUUCCCGGAUAGCCUUCCGGAUUCAGAUGAAGAUGCCACACCAGAUGCCACCUUGCUUUGUGAAUCCAUCAGAAAAAAAAAAUUCUUGGCUCCCUUUCAUGCCCUCCUUGCAAAACUCAACAAUGAUGCCAUAUCAACAUCCCACAAUCCUCCUGUGACUUGCAUAGUUUCAGAUGGUUUCAUGUCCGCGUUCACAAUCAC
RNAcentral lists this long non-coding RNA (61104 nucleotides) under Prunus persica (peach). RNAcentral describes it as "long non-coding RNA (PPER_LNC004347)". Lineage: Eukaryota; Viridiplantae; Streptophyta; Magnoliopsida; Rosales; Rosaceae. The record is from RNAcentral.